CACUUUUGUUACUGUGCAAGGCACUGUCUGGGGCACCAAUGACAGUGCCAUGGACAAUGCCUUGCACUGUCUAUGGCACUAACAUUUUGUUGCCUUGCACGUCUUCUUUUAUCGCUCCAUUUUGUAGCUGUGAGGUACCAUUUCAUGAAAGAAUUUCUCCAUUUCAUGUCCAAGCAUUCCUACACAUGAAAUACGCUCUAUUUAAAGGCAAUUGUCGCACAAAUUAACAUCCAAACAACAAGCAAAUACUGUCAAAAUAUAUGGAAUUAUCUCACGACAUCAACACCCCACACUUAAAUGUUGCUCUCCCUCGAAUCAACCAACCAAACACUUCAUCAUCAAGGACCCAACAAGCUACACAUUUACAACACACUAUGCUUAUGACCAUGGUUAAUAGCAACAAUUAAGCUCUAGCAUGUGCUGUUAAAAUACUCUUCCCAUACUUAUGCCCAAUUUUAAAACAUCCAAUACAGGAUCAAUAUGAUUACAACAAUCCUAGCCUCAAAAACUUACUCAAUGUCACAAUGCACUCGAGGCUUGAAUACUUAAUCUAACAUAGAGGUCUAAUAACGUUACCUAUCCUUUGUGAAACCAUGUGCCCUCACAAUAAAACAAAGAGUAAGCAGUCCACACAUCCAAAUCACAUGAUCGAAUAUAAUUUAAGGACUCACACAUAUGAAGAAAAGGCACACACUCUCUCAAAGAAGUCACAUGCACGCAAAACAUACCAGAGGCUUGCCCAUUAUGUAAACCUCUACUAAUGUAGGCUCACUCGGUCCGAAAUCAACUAGGACUUUAUUAUGGUUGUAAUGUGGGCUAAAGGAUGGGUAGGAUAUAUUUAGAGUAUAGUGGCGAACCCUUCAAAGCAUUUUAACACAUCAUGUAUUCAACUUUGAGGCUGGGGAUUUGGGUGUCGAUUUGGUGUUAGAUUUUGAUAAAUUUGGUAUGGUUGGAAUCGUGGUGGAAUGGGCUUCCAGGUUUUGUGACUUUUGUUGGAUUCCGAGAUGUGGGCUCGGGGGCCGACUUUUGAGUUGGCUUUUUACUUUUAAAUUAAGAACUUAGUAAUUUCAUAUGGAAUUGGUUCCUUUAGAUCGUGUUGAUUGUAUCGAACUGUUUGUGGCUAGAUUUGAGGCAUUUGAAGACCGUUUCGCGAGGCAAGGACUUGUUGGAGUAGAGUUUCGUACAAAUUGAGGUAAGUAACACUUUUAAACUUGGUUCUAAGGGUAUAGAGCCCCGAAUUUUGUGUUAUGCGAUUGGUGUGAGGUGACACAUGUGCUAGGUGACAGGCAUAUAGGCGUGCACUGUAGGAAAUGUGACUUGGUCGACUCCAUGGAACUGAAUAAUUGAUUUAGCUUGCUAUUACCCAUAUUCUCUUCAUUUGAUAGAAUAAUUGAGUUGUCGGUCAUGCUAGAAAUCUUGUUUAAGUUACAUGUUGAACUAUUUUGCUUAACCUGUCAUUUUAUACUCAGUCAUAGUGAUUGUUUGCAUAAUAUGUCUCAGUCUCUGUUGUGCUUAUUUGCUACGUAAUAUCAUUAUUGUUUGGGCUGAAUAGCAUAAUUUAGGUGAGCUUAAGAGAUUGGAGAGAUUAGUGAUUGAGUGAGACUGAAGGUCUAUUGUGAGUUAUAUUAAUGGGAUCAAGCUGCACGCCACAACAGACUUUAAUGAUUGAUGCUAGGAUUUGGAAUAUUAUAGUGCUUGGGCUGGAUCGGCCCCUCCAGAGUCUGCACAUCCACAGUGGGCGCAAUGCUAGCAAUUAUUUACAUUUAGGCUAGAUCUGCCCUAGUUUAUUGCAUUCGGCAUGGACCUGCCCUGGGCUGGAUCUGCCCUGUUAUGUGUUAAUUUUUGUUGUAAAAUCUAAAAGCAUGUCUAAAUUCUUGUACCUUCACUUGUAGACUAUGAAUUUUUGAGAUAUCACUGUCAUAUUUUUUGUAACUUUUCGUACUCUUAAAUGUUUAAAGCGGACCAAAAUAAUUAGACUCGUCACUACUUUCAGUCCAAAAGUUAGAUGUUUUACUUAUUGAGUUGGUUGUACUCACGGCACACUCUGCACAUCAUGUGUAGAUCCAAGUGCUUCCGGUCACGGCGGUUGUUUAUUUGCAGAGUCCAGACCUUCGGAGGCCAUCGAGAUAGUUGCUUGGAAUCCGCACACGUUGACUCUCCUCCCUUAUCUUUCAGUUUGUUAUUCAGUCUUACUUUCUAGAUAGUGUACCAGACUAUGUCUUUAUGUAGCUGCUCAUGUACUCAGUGAUACCCCGAUUUUGGGAAGAAUUUAUGUAUUGAGUUAUGAUUUCCUAUCAUGUUUUAAGAGAUUUUUCCUUUAUUUAAACUGUGUUAGUAUCUUUCAAAGAUUUAAAUUGUUUUAAAUGUCUGAGUAGUCAGCUUGCCUAGUACUGUGAUAGGCGUCGUUACGAUGGGUUGGUUUUGGGUCGUGACAGAAGCAAAGCAGUGACAAUAAGUAGUAACAACAACAAGAUAUCAAGAAAAUGGACAAGAAAGACAACAAUCAAAUGGUAAGUAGUAAUAAUAAUCGAAGAAUCAAAGUAUCAUACUAACAUUAAUACUACUGGUAUGUGAUGAGCUUAAAAUUAUUCGACAUUUAUGCCCUCUUUGUGUCCUUGAUUUGGUUGAUUUGAUAGAGAUUUAGUCUGAUUAUGGUCUAAUGUGUUGCAUUUCAGUGCAGGUGGUGCAGAGGGGAUCAAUGGACAAAUAGUGCACAAAGUGGGAGGAAAAUAAGCUGAUAAAGGAGGAAAUUCUCAUGCACGGCCGCACUCGAGCAGUCCCAAAUGCGCAUUUGAGCGCGCAAAUCUCACAGAAAAACUGGUAGAUGUGCACGGUCAUAUGUGCGCCAAGACACCCAGAUGCGCGACCGCGCAUGUCUGUCUCCGCGAAUUUUUGUCAAGCCUAUUUUUAUAAAUUGGGAGGCAUCCUUUUGACCUAUAUGACGCCUAAGCUCAUCACAAAACAGGGCAUCUUAGAUUUUUGGAGUGACCUUUGGAGGAAAAAAGCAAGGAACAACAUGGACUUUUGAAUACUUUAUCUGAAUCAUUCAAUACGAAAGUUUAUUUGAAUUCAUGGGUUGUAAUAUUUUCUUGUCAUCUUAUUACUCUUCUGAUGAACAAUUUUUCUAUUAUGGAGUAGUCCUUCUUAGGUUUAUUGAUAGAUAUUGUGAAUUGAUUAUUAUUCAAGGGUUUGAUUGCUGUUAGUUGCUUGAAUUUGUUGAACAAGUUUUGAAUUAGUUUACAAAGUUACUGGGGAUUUCACUUUAAUCAGAAGAAAAGUGCACUUCAAUAGUCAUUGUGUUAUCUUGUUUGGGUUAAUUUCACGACUCUCAUAGGUAAUCGAAAGAUCUUGUAGAUUUAUCAAUUUAUCCAAUUUAGAGGAAUAGUGGAGAGACGUUCCUUGUAAGAACAUUCAUUGAACGUAUUCGUGCAUACGUUCAUAGAACUUGUCAUUAGGUUGUUUAACAGAACUCUCAUUCAUUCGGAAGAAGAAUUUGAAUCCUUAAUAUAGCCUAAUCAUCUGUUGAAAUCAAAAGAGUCAAUAGAAUUUGAGAGUGAACUUAGCACAAAGUUAUCCUGAAUAAUAGUUGAUCACAUAUCUUGUCAAGCCCUUAUUUCUCACAUUGAUAUUCGAUCGUUGCUACUUAGUCACCCAAUUUCCAUUAUUCAUUCACAAUUGAUAACUUAGUUUUUACUCUUAGUUCGUUAAUAACUCAAAAUCAAAGAUUUAUUUUCCUGAAUAGUGUUAAGCUUGUCACACCUCCUUUUUCUACCACCGAAGGGGUAUAUAAGGGAGUUUGUCCAAUUUACGUGACAAUCGAAACGAGAUUAUUUAUUUAGAAAUCAGAGUCGCCACUUGGGAUAAUUUAUGGUGUCCCAAGUCACUGGUUUAAAUCUCGAAUCGAGGAAAAAAUUGACUCUGUUUUACAAUCCACGAACACAGAAAUCCGGGUAAGGAAUUCUGUUAACCCAGGAGAAGGUGUUAGGCAUUCUCGAGUUCCAUGGUUCUAGCAUGGUCGCUCAACUGUUAUUAUUGGCCUAAUUAUCUGAUUUUAAAAUACUUUUAAGCCUAUGUGUAUUUUUUAACUUUCUAACCGCUUUUAGUAUUUCAGGAAAAUUCAAGGUUAUUUAAAAAACAUCAAAGGCCACGUUACAUGAAAUGCACCCGCGGUUCACGACACAUUCUAUUUAACCUUGUUGGAAAUUAGAAUCGGGUCACAUGAAAUAUACACCCGGAUUUUGUAAUUAAAAAUCACAACUACGUCACGAAAUCGUACCCGUAGAAAUGGAAAUUAUUUAAUUAACGCGCCUAAAGCAAACUACGAAAGUUCAAGGCAUUUUUUUAUACUAGUUUUUGUAUUUAUGUGAUGGCCAUACAUUAUGGAUUUUGUUUGCGUAUGCACACCUCAAUUAUUUUUUUUUAAAAAAAAGAAUUAUUUCAUUAAGGUAAACUAAAGAUACUGCUACUUUAAUCUAAUUUAAAAUUAAAUAUCACGACCACGUCACGGGAACCGUACCCGUAGUCACGAUGAUGAUUUAUUUUCGUGCCUAAAGGUUCGCCUACCCGGAUGUGGUGGCCUAAGUAUGAUCUUAUGACCAAUUAAGAGAAUAAAAGUAAUAAAUUCCAACUUUCUUUCAUUUAAUGACAAAGCUCGUGGCCACAUAUUAUUAAAAGUUUUUCUAAACCAAUACAACCAUUCAAUUGAAGCGAAGCAUCCAAUCCUAGUAGACCAAAUGAAACGAAAUGAUUAUAAGAAAUCAAACCCCAGUUGACCCAGUGUAUUAAUUCAAAUGAUUAUCAUCCAAGCAAAUGUAUGGUUUCUGGAAAUUUCAAUAUAGAGAUAGGAACAAAACUUAUUAAAAUUCAAUCCACUUUAAUCAUAGAAAUCCGCAUCGUCAUAAUCAAACCAACAAGGGAAAGCUAACUACUGCAGAUUAAUAAACAUAAUGAUGAAGUAUGCAAUGAUUUCACAUUCUAACUUGAAUAAAGACGAGCAACAAAUCACCGUACUUAAGGUUUUCACAUAUCCUUUUCAUACUAAAGUCAUAUCAAUAAUAGAAUAAUAGGGAAAUCGAUAAUGAACCUGGACUGAAAUUCUUCUUAGUAACAGUAGAGGAAUGAGCAUAUACAAUGUUUUGCUCCCAAAUUUAAACUGAGAACAAAGCAAUUGAGCAAAAACGCGAGCCAAACCACGAACCUCAGACGAAAACUCCAAUCGGCAUCAGAAUGAACUCAAUUAAACCCCGUCGAUCCCAUGGAAAAAAAGGGAGUGGCGAUGAGAGGGGACCAUUAUGGUGGUGGAAGAGCUCGACGAUAGUGAGGCGCGGCUGGGUUCUCUGAGGGGGUUGGUUUCCGGCGAAGCAACGGUUGCUGGUGUGGGCUCCGCUGGAGAUGAGGAAAGGGGGGUCGUUUGGAGAAGACGAAGUCAGGGGGUGGGGUCAUUUAUGGUUGCGGCGAAUCUGUUUUGUCUCUUAGGUCUUGGUGUAUUUUUUUUUUUGCUAUUUCAGCUUCUUCUUCUUCUUCUUUUUUCAGGCGUUAGGUGUUAGCCUAUAUAUGUAGGUCCUAGAGUCUAGGUUUAUAUUUUGUGUAUUUGCUCUUAGGUCUUUAGGGUCUUUUUAUUUAUUUAUUUAUUCCAAAGAAGAGUCUAGAAGGGUCCCUAGGAUUAGCUUAAUGGGUAUUGGGCUUAAGGAAUAGGCUAGACACUUGGGCCUUUAUGACUAGCUAUGCUUAGAAUUAGCUUAAUUAACUAAAAAUCUAUCCAUAUAGAAAUUUUAUCAAAAAUAUUAAUUAGCCCUACUUAAGUAAAAAUAAUUAUUAAAAUAAGACUGACUGUUAAAACAAAAUUAUUUAUUGGUAUUUUUCAAGAUUAAAAAUGACUAUAAAACAUUAAUGAACCUAUUUUUGUAAUUUUCGUUUUCUUGUAAUAAAAUAAAAGUAAAAGAGUAAAAUGAGUUGAAAUAACUAUAUUAGGCCUAAAUUAAAUAUUUACAUGCUAAAAUAUUUAAAAUCUUGAGGAGGGUCAAAAAUCACAUGUCUACAGCUGCCCCUCUUUGACUGGAAACACGAAGUAUUUUCAGACAAAGAACGACCAGACAGGUUUUUGGACCCGACCCUUAUUUGGAGAGACUAAAACUAAGAGAAAGGGGAAUUUGACCGAGCCCUUGUAUCUAAGCUGCCUACAUAUCCUUGGCUAUAAAAGAAUCAGGCCACAUGUAGUUCAGAAGUGAGUGAGAUGAUGGAGUAUGCCGAGGUGGAGAGCCAGUCGAGGUGCCGUUCCGCCGAGGUUCCGGUCCGCGGUCCUGAUGNNNNNNNNNNNNNNNNNNNNNNNNNNNNNNNNNNNNNNNNNNNNNNNNNNNNNNNNNNNNNNNNNNNNNNNNNNNNNNNNNNNNNNNNNNNNNNNNNNNNNNNNNNNNNNNNNNNNNNNNNNNNNNNNNNNNNNNNNNNNNNNNNNNNNNNNNNNNNNNNNNNNNNNNNNNNNNNNNNNNNNNNNNNNNNNNNNNNNNNNNNNNNNNNNNNNNNNNNNNNNNNNNNNNNNNNNNNNNNNNNNNNNNNNNNNNNNNNNNNNNNNNNNNNNNNNNNNNNNNNNNNNNNNNNNNNNNNNNNNNNNNNNNNNNNNNNNNNNNNNNNNNNNNNNNNNNNNNNNNNNNNNNNNNNNNNNNNNNNNNNNNNNNNNNNNNNNNNNNNNNNNNNNNNNNNNNNNNNNNNNNNNNNNNNNNNNNNNNNNNNNNNNNNNNNNNNNNNNNNNNNNNNNNNNNNNNNNNNNNNNNNNNNNNNNNNNNNNNNNNNNNNNNNNNNNNNNNNNNNNNNNNNNNNNNNNNNNNNNNNNNNNNNNNNNAGGGGGCUCCUGAUUGCCGAACUCCUUUGAACCUUGCUGCUUCCCUUCGUUCUCCAGGUGGGCUCCUGGUUGCUGUCUUCCUUUGAACAUUGUUGCUUCCCUUCGUUCUUCAGGUGGGCUCCUGAUUACCAACACUUGCGCUGUUUUUCCUUGAAACUUGAAUUGCCUCCCUUGAAACUUGAACUGCUUCUCUUUGUUCUCUAGGUAGGCUCCUGAUUUCCAACACUUGAACUGACCCCUCUGAAACUGCUACUUGUGAACCUGAUUACAAUAAAACAAACAAACAAAAGAAAUUUUUCUGCCCCAGUUUGAUAUCGGGAACAUCUGUGAGUGUUAAUCUAAUCAUAAUACCCAAAAGCUCUAAGAAUUUAAAAGCUAAAUCCCAUUAUCCAGGAGGGUCCUGAAAAUUAAAAAUUAAAUCUCAUCUCAAGAGUGACAACUUCAAAGCUAAAUUCUAUUUCCUAAAGGUAAAAUUUACGCUAAAUCUUAUUGUCUAUGAAGGUCUUAAAAACUUAAAACUAAAUCCCAUUAUCCGGGUCCUGAGAACUUUAAAUUAAAUCAUAUUAUCCAUGAGGGUCCUGAAAAUUUUAAAUUAAGUCCCAUUAUCCAGGAGGGUCCUGAAAAGCUGAGAAUGAACUUACCUAAGCCGCGCUCUUUUCCUGGAGGAUCUAUGUAGACCGAACAAAAUUCCUUUCCCCUAAACCACUCUUUUCCUCAUGGAGGGUUCAUGUAGAUCGAAUAAAUUUUUCUUUCCCCUUCUCAAACCGCCUUUGUGCUGACAAACUUUGGGCACGACACUUGAAAAAGUUCAAACUUCCAAGCUUUGAUUUGGACACAAUUUUCGUCCCUGUUUCAAACAAAGAGAACUUAUGAGUUUAUAAAUAUGGUGGUUGGUUUGUGGCCUUGAAUUUGAGGGUGAUUUCUCCUUCACUUCCCAUGAUAACUUUGAUUUCCACUCGAAAGAUCUUGCUUUUUUAUUGACUUACUACUUUCUCUGUCACCCUUAUCACGGAAAAUACCUCUAAUCUGUUCAAACCCAAUACCAUUCAUCUGUUGCAUUGUGCUCUUGCAUUGACAUGUACUGAACCUUUGUGUUUCACAUGAAUCCCAAAGCACAUCAAUUGCCAUCCACUCAGUGCACAUGUUGUUCUUUCCUGACUUAAAACACUGGCCUUGGCCUUGAGGUCUAUUGCUCCUUCAUUUGCCAUGAUAACUGAUUUCCGCUUGGAAGACCUUCCUUGUCCCUGGUUAACCACUUCUUUUGUCAAUCUUAUCAUAGAAAAUACCUUUUAUCCGUUCACCCUUCAUCCUCGAUCUAUUGCACUGAUCAUGAAUUGACAUAUACCAAACCUUUGUAUUUCACAUGAAUCCCAAAGCACAUUGAUUGUUGCCAACUCAAUGCGCAUGUUGUUCUUUCCUGACUUAUGCCACUUUGAUGUGUUAGCCAGAUCCUAUUUUGUGCAAUUGGAAAGCGGGUGGCAAAUUGUGAAGUCAUUUCUCACUUGUUCUGACCAAACAAACUUAGGAAGAGGAAGUAAACAAAACAAAAGGAACAGAGUAAAGGACAAUGGAAAGAGAUGAUUCCUAACAAACAAAACUACAAAGCAAAAACUUAUCAGAUGUGGACACCAACUCUAAUAACCAUGACAUGCACAUGUGGCCUAAUCUGUCAAGCAAGUCUGAUGUUCAACACUUGUUAUACCCCUAAACCGUGAAACUGGGCUUCAAUGCUCCGAUUAUCCAAUCUGAUUCACAAUCCUUAUUCGACUUGUAGUGCCCGAAGGGUUUUCACUAUCAAGCCUCUCUCAUUUUGUUCUUUUUCUCAACUCAUCAUCGCCUUAUAGUGCCUGGGAAGGUUUUCACCGAUAAGACUCUCAUUUUUUUUCUUCUUUCUUCUGAUUUUGUUGAUGACAAGGCGUUGACCAUAGUAAAAACAUCAUGUGCUCCUGGCAUGUCUAAACUCAGCACUCUCAAAGAUUAUUUGGGAGGUCUUUUUUGGACUAUGAUGUGGCUUUUGGAUAGGGUUAGAAAGAAAGGAUAUCAUAAAGGCUCAAAAUUACUAAAACAACAGGGUUAAUUUAUUUACAACUUUUGGAAUCCAUUCUAAAAACUUUGCCCAAUUUCUAAAACAAUGGAAUUUGAUUCUUUUUUAUUUUGUUUUUCUUUUUUGAUGGAGUUAUUAAUAAAGACCGCCCCACAUUCGACUUCGUCGGAUUAUGAAAUAUUUUAUUUGGUAUGACCGAACCGUUAGGCUGCCUACGUAUCUUGUGGUGACAAGAAUCAGGUCAAACGUAAUUCACAAAACUACUUUUUGUAACUAUUUGCCUUUCUUUUUUCUUUCUCUCUUUUUUUUUCUUUCUUUCUCUUUUUUUCUUUUUCCUUUUUUCUCCUUUAUCUCUAUUUUUCCCUUCUUUUUUGAAUUUUCCUUUCGGAAUGAACUUUCUAAAAUAAACCUAUGGGGACAUGAACUCUUUUUUUUCGUAUGACUCUAACUUGAUUCCAAAAGAGGGGAGGUCAAAGAAAUCAGUACAGGCUCAAAAGAGUAUCGAAUGGUAUAAGUGUUUGGGUAGCUGAAAGAGGGCCUCCUAAUCGCUGAAAAUGCCAAGUACAACACAUGCAACUUGAAACGGAAAUUGAAAAUCAUGCACAAUAUUUCUUUUGCAGCUUCGACAUUGAUAUCACUGAUAUUCCUUCGACUUUUAGUUAGCGCCUUUUCAAGUACAGAAUCCUCGUUGGGUGAUUCCCUCUUCACAAUGGAUAUCUUCCAUCAAUUUGGAGAGAAAUUCCUUGACUUUAUCUUGUAACUUGAGAUGCACUUGAACUCAAAGUUGCUUGCUUCAAAUCGUCCGGUAUGCACUCUCCCUUAACGAAUUCUUGUUACCCUAUUAACUUUCCAAAUUAACUGCCCCAGUUUCACACAGUUCGGGCUUCAAAUGAACUCAAAAUAUCCAAAUCUGUACUUAUUUCCCUCAAGUGUUCCCAUCAUCUUCAAAAUUAUUUUAUUGCUUCAUGAUUAAACUAACUUUUAAGACCAGGCCUAGAAUUAUGCGUGCAUGUCAUGUCACUAGAGCCAGCAUGAAAAGAACUAUAAAAGGAAAAAAACUAAACAAAAAUGAUUAACAUAAAACAGAAAAUUGCAUUAGAUAGACGGUGAAAGGGUUUGAACAACAAGAUAAGUAAAAUAAACUGGGGUACGACCCUGGAACAAACCUAGAUAACACGAAAUGAGUUACUACGACUAAAUGAACUCGGCAAAAUAAAAGGAUAGAAGGGUUUGAUAGUCACAAGACAAUAUCCGAAUUACAACCCUGAAAUAAACCGGACAACAGAAAUGACAAUAAAAUAAACCACCAAUACUCCUCCCUGGCUAACCAAGAAAGGAGCAUCUUUUCAAUCACCAAGCUCAACAUCUUAGCCAUUGAAUUUUGCAUCAACAAUACUAGGACCUUCACAAGUCUUCAUCACAUUGUUCUUAACAAAUUGCUUUUGGGUUCCCUUUUGCCGGCUCGUUGUUAAGAUCAACCUCUGAUAGCGCUGAAAGCUUUGCAGCGCAUGGACCUCCGAGGAUCUCAGAAGAAUUCUCAUAUUCCUUUUCAAAACAAACCAUACUCACCAUAUGCGUCUCAUUACGAACAGGCGAUGGACUUUGGCUAGUGUCUGUUGCAUCUGGAUUUUGCACGACAAUGUCACCUGCAUUAAUAAGCUUAUAAAUUGCAUUUUUUAGGUGCCAACACUUUUCUGUACUAUGACCCGGGGCAUCGGAGCAAUAUGCGCACCUUUGAGAAAAAUCAAACUUCUUUGGCAGAGGGUUUGGCAUUUUUAUCUGAAUCGGCUUCAACAUAUCCAAUUGCCUCAACCUUUGGAACAAACUGGCAUAUGAUUCUCUAAUAGGGGUGAAAGCCUUUUCUUUUUUCAACAGUCUUUUCAGUUUGUAUUCUGGCCUCGGUUGGAAACUUUUGCGGGUAGGUGGCUGAUAUGCUUGAGGAGGCGGGUAAGACAUUUGUGGAAGUGGUGCAGGCCAUCGCGGGCCUCAUGGGUGUGGAGCAUAUGGUGGUGCAUUGUGGAUAGGGUACUAGGAAAGUGAUGUACGACUUUGGGGGUUACGUGGAGAGAAGUAGCAUUGGGGAGGAUCAUCUGGUGCACAAGGAGAUCCAUGGGGUCGAUGUCGAGGCUGAACGCGUUGAGUAGGAAUGCCCAGUGGAUCAUCUUUUCUAUUUCUCUUUAUUCCACCCAAACUUACUGGGAUGUUCUGAAUGUCUUCCGUAGUAUCUUUCAAUGCCGAAUAACUCAUGAUUUUGCCUGACUUGAUUCCCUUUUCUACCAUAUUCCCCGUUUUUACCACAUCAUUGAAAGGUUUACCCAAGGUCGGAAUCAAAUGACUGAAGUAGGUGGGCCCCUAAGCUUGUAGGAAAAGCUCAACCAUUUCUUCUUCACCAAUCGAGAGACUGACUCGAGAAGAUUUCUCCUUCCAUCUGAGCCCAAACUCCCUAAAGCUUUUCUCCAGUUUCUUUUCCAUCUUAGAUAGGGAGGAGCGGUCUGGGGUAAUGUCUAAUUUGUAUUGAAACUGUCGAACAAAAUCUUGAGCCAUGUUGCCCAAUGUAUGCCACUUACCGACAUAUUGACGAUUAUGCCAUUCCAAAGCUGCCCCAGUCAAGCUCUCACUGAAAUACGCAAUCAACAAAUCAUCUUUCUCGUCAGCACUACUCAUUUCCCUGCAAUAAACCCUCAGAUGGGCUACCGGAUCUCCACGGCCCUCAUACAAAUUGAACUUUGGCACUUUAAACCCCGCAGGCAGAUGAACAUCAGGGAACAUAUAAAUCUGAUUUCUCAUCCCUUGCAUGCUCCUUAAGGACUAUUCCAUACCUUUCAGCUUCCUGGAUAUCUCAUCUCGCCCUUCUUUUCCUGUGACCUUUUCAUUUUCAGCAUGAGGCUCAUUCCGAGUGCUCUCCUUGUAUGAGCUAAGAACCUUGUGGGCAACCUCUGAGAGGUAAUAUUGGGCAUCAUGAGCUCUGAGUGGGUAUUCAUUGUUGGAUAUAGUGGAUAUGACAGGAGGGCAAUUUUGGGGAAAGGUAAUUGGAGGACGAGUGAUGGAGCUACUAGGGUGGUUGGGAAAGCUGUGAUAAGCAGAACAAUCUGGAGAGUAUGGGGAAUCAUCUGGCACUAUGACCAGAGUUUGGGUAAGGGUAGCAUCUAGGAAGGUAAGUGGUGGAGGGGGUGGUGCCUUCCUAGUCAUCCAAGCCUGAUACAUGUCCGCCAUGUGUUGUCUUAACAUCCUCACCUUUUCAACUAACCCAUUGUCCUAUUCAACCAAUUGCUUUUGGGCACCCGUAUCAACCAACUCAGUUCUGUUGUCAUCUGCCAUUGCCUUUCAACUUUAUGUUGUAGAGAAGAGUUACCACUUUAAGAACCACAAACCAACCACCUUUCUGCUAUAAUGAAGAUAACAAAAGGAACAAAAUGAAGUCAUCACGUUAGCGUUAGGGCAUUUAACAUAAGAUAAUCUCAUUUUAUGUGCAAUGCACCUAGCCACAGUUACCGGUUCUAAAAUGACUUCGAGGGUACGAAGGUCAGUUGGCAUCAUCCCAAUUUGUUCAUCUCAAUCCUCUCUUUUCUUUGCUUUUCUAGCACUUGCUUGCUCAUUUUCCUUCCUUUUUUUGCUAAUUAUCACUCUCUUCUUCCUCUCAUUUUUCACAUCCCAUCAUUUCACCCCUUUUUUUCUUUUUUUUCUCUUUUUUUUUCCUUUUGUUUUUUUUUUCGUAAAAAUAAAACAUUUUGAUCGAACCCUAUAUAGGUUGCCUACUAUCAUGACGCCGCAUGAAUCAGAUCUUUGCGUACUUUGAGAAGAUCGCGAAUAGACUAAAUAAACUAACAUUCUCUUUUUUCUUUCUUUCUCUUUUUUCUACCUUAAUGACCAAUCCGAAGAGAAAGAAAAAUAAAGGAAGAAAAACUUUUUUUUUCUAGACUUAAUCUUCUAUAACCUAUUCUAAACUCAAGAUUAACGGAUUUUUUUUUCUUUUGAAACAAAUACUCUAUUAAGGAAAAAUCCUAGAAGAGAAAAAUAUUUUUUGACUUUUUUUUGUGAAGGAAAUCUAAAAAAUAAGCCAAAGAAAAACUAUUUUUAAUUUUAGUUUGAUAUCUUGAAAGAAAGAUUUCGAACCAAGAAAUAAAAAAGAUGAAAAUGUUUUUGGAUUUCAGUUUGACUACAUAUGGGAGAAACUCUGAAAAUAAACUCAGGAUAAAGUAUGUUAUUUUUUUUCUUCUAUGUACAAUGUCCUAAAGUUCUAGUAAAAUUAAAAAAGAAUUAUUUUUCAUUUUUCGUGAAUUUCUCAAAGAAGAACAUCAAAAGAAAAUAUAUUUUUUUUUGGAUUUUUGGAAUUAAUAUCUUAAAGAAAACUUUUAAAGAGGUACUAAAACUUUUUUUUUUUUUGAAUUUUUAGUCUUAAUAUACGAAAGGAAAUAUAAAAGCAAUUUAUUUUGAGUUCUAGAAAUUAAUUCAAUAAAGGAAAACCACCUCAAAUGAUUUUUAUUAUUCCUAGAAUUAGUAUUAUAAAAAAAACUUCUACCAGAAAUAUAAAAAUGUAACUUUUUUUUUUGGAUUUUUGAUUUAUAACACAUUUUCCAAAUACAAAGUAGAAAGUACAAUAACAAAAGACUCGACAUUACUGUACAAAACUAGAAAGUAAAAGAUGAUAUAAAAUGAAGAACAUACUCAAUAACACUAUGUGAGACAAUAACACUUCCUGUUAGACACAUGCAAGACAUGAUUGUGGCUGUUUUUCUAAAAUUAAUCAGUGUGGCUAAAGUGGCUAAAAAUGCAAGAUUUGGCUAAGACCCCGCAAAGCGAAGAACCUAAGAUUCACUAGGAAGACCGGACACUAUGUGGAUUGCCUAAGAAUUAGGUAUGCGUAGUUCGGGCAAAUUAGAUACGGGCAAGAAUUAAAAAACUAACUAAUUUAGAGAAAACAUAUUUUGCUUUGAAAAAUGAUGAAACAUAUAAACUCUUUUUGGAUUUUCUUUUCCUCUUUUUUUUGAUUUUUUGAUUUUCGAAAAAUGAUGAAAAAGUGCAAAAUCUUUUUGAAUUUUUCAUGUUUUUUUUUCCUUUUCUUUUAAAAAAUGUGAAAGAGAACAUAACUGGGCCCUACUUGCCUUAUUUUCAAACUUCACCCUCUCUUUUUUUUUCAUCUGCCCUCAACUAUCAUUGGUCCGCCAAAUGACCCUUUUACCCUUGAAGAAAUGCAACAUGUAGCACAUAUGAUGCAUCAGGAUGGUCUUUUAUUUUGGGGUACACUUGUCCUAGACGGACCCAACCUCUGUGUUGAGUCCCCAAAGUCAAAUGCAUAUGAUACAAACAAUAGUUCCUACUAGGGAUCUGGCAUGAGGCUGAGUUAUUCUGAGUUCAAAACCUGGGUAUGUUGUUCUAGAUUUGUGUACCCGAGCGGCCACAUCGAGCCGGGGGGGCUACGUACCGGGAACCAAAAUGCCAUCUGGCUUUGUAACUUGUCCGAGCCUCUUCCUAAUUUAAGGUAUGACACUAACAUAAGAGGAGUCACGCCAGUGUGCACAUCCCCGAAGAUGAGAAGAGAAGGGUUUCGUAGCAGUUUAUAUACAGUUCAGAUAAUAUAAAAGCGGUAAAAGCAACAUUUAGCACAUUAGGCCCAAACAUGUAAUUAAAACCAGAUAAUAAAUAAAAGCCAAAUAUAACAAUUAUUCUAAGCUCGAAUUCUUGAACCCUGAACUAGAGAUUAUGGGUUCUUGUCCCCAGCAGAGUCUCCAGAGAUGUCACACAUCCUUUUUCUACCACCGAAGGGGUAUAUAAGGGAGUUUGUCCAAUUUAAGUGACAAUCGAAACAGGAUUAUUUAUUUAGAAAUCAGAGUCACCAAUUGGGAUAAUUUAUGGUGUUCGAUGUCACCGGUUUAAAUCCCGAAUCGAGGAAAAGAUUGACUCUGUUUUACAGUCCGCAAACACAGAAAUUCGGGUAAGGAAUUCUGUUAACCCAGGAGAAGGUGUUAGGCAUUCGCGAGUUCCGUGGUUCUAGCACGGUCGCUCAACUGUUAUUAUUGGUCUAAUAAUCUGAUUUUAAAACACUUUUAAGCAUAUGUGUAUUUUUUAACUUUCUAACCGCUUUUAGUAUUUCAGGAAAAUUCAAGGUUAUUUAAAACACAUCGUAGGCCACUCUACAUGAAAUGCACCCGCGGUUCACGACACAUUCUAUUUAACCUUGUUGGAAAUUGGAAUCGGGUCACAUGAAAUGCACACUCAAAUUUUGUAAUUAAAAAUCACAGCUAUAUCAUGGGAACCAUACCCGUUGCUAUGACAAUUAUUUAAUUAACGCGCCUAAAGCAAACUACGAAAGUUCAAGGCAUUUUUUGUACUAGUUUUUGUAUUUAUGUGAGGGCCAUACAUUAUGGAUUUUGUUUGCAUAUGCACACCUCAAUUAUUUGUAAAAAAAAGAAUUAUUUCACUAAGGUAAACUAAAGAUACUCCUAUUUUAAUUUAAUUUAAAAUUAAAUAUCACCACCACGUCACGAGAAAUGUACCCGUAGUCACAAUGAUGAUUUAUUUUCAUGCCUAAAGGUUUGCCUACCCGGAUGUUGUGGCCUAAGUAUGUUCUUAGGACCAAUUAAGAGAAUAAAAGUAAUAAAUUUCAACUUUUUUUCAUUUAAUAACAAAGCUCGUGGCCACAUAUUAUUAAAAGUUUUUCUAAACCAAUACAACCCAUUCAAUUGAAGCGAAGCAUCCAAUCCUAGUAUACCAAACGAAAUGAAAUGAUUAUAAGAAAUCAAACCCCAGUUGACCCAGUGUAUUAAUUCAAAUGAAUUUCAUCCAAGCAAAUGUAUGGUUUCUGGAAAUUUCAACAGAGAGAUAGGAACAAAACUUAUUAAAAUUCAAUCCACUUUAAUCAUAGAAAUCCGCAUCGCCAUAAUCAAACCAACAAGGGAAAGCUAACUACUGUAGAUUAAUACACAUAAUGAUGAAGUAUGCAUUGAUUUCACAUUCUAACUUGAAUAAAGACGAGCAACAAAUCAUCGUGCUUAAGGUUUUCACAUAUCCUUUUCAUGCUAAAAUCAUAUCAAAAAUAGAAUAAUAGGGAAUCGACAAUGAACCUGGACUGAAAUUCUUCUUAGUAACAGUAGAGGAAUGAGCAUAUACAAUGUUUUUCUCCCAAAUUUAAACUGAGAACAACACAAUCAAGCAGAAACGCGAGCCACACCACGAACCUCAGACAAAAACUCGAAUCGGCAUCAAAACAAACUCAAUCGAACCCCGUCGAUUCCAUGGAAGAAAAGGGAGUGGCGAUGAGAGGGGGGCUGCUAUGGUGGUGGAAGAGCUCGACGACAGUGAGGCGCGACUGGGUUCUCUGAGGGGAUUGGUUUCCGACGAAGCAACGAUUGCUGGUGUGGGCUCCGCUGGAGAUGAGGAAAGGGGGGUCGUUUGGAGAAGACGAAGUCAGGGCGUGGGGUCAUUUAUGGCUGCGGCGGAUCUGUUUUUUCUCUUAGGUCUAGGUGUAUUUUUUUGCUAUUUCAGCUUUUUUUUACAGGCGUUAGGUGUUAGCCUAUAUAUGUAGGUCCUAGAGUCUAGGUUUAUAUUUUGUGUAUUUUCUUUUAGGUCCUUAGGGUCUUUUUAUUUAUUUUUGUACAAAAGAAGAGUCUAGAAGGGUCCCUAGGAUUAGCUUAAUGAGUAUUGGGUAUUGGGCUUAAGGAAUGGGCUAGAAACUUGGGCCUUUAUGACUAGAUAUGCUUAAAAUUAGCUUAAUUAACUAAAAAUCUAUCCAUAUAUAAAUAUUAUUAAAAAUAUUAAUUAUCCCUACUUAAGUAAAAAUAAUUAUUAAAAUAAGACUGACUGUUAUAACAAAAUUAUUUUUUGGUAUUUUUUCAAGAUUAAAAAUGACUACAAAACAUUAAUGAACCUAUUUUUGUAAUUUUCGUUUUCUUGUAAUAAAAGUAAAAGUAAAAGAGUACAAUGAGUUGAAAUAGCUAUAUUAGGCCUAAAUUAAAUAUUUACAUGCUAAAAUAUGUAAAAUCUUGGGGCGGGUCAAAAAUCACGUGUCUACAAAGCUGACGAUUUCUUUGAACAUUAUUUAAACCAAUUCUUGUGGAGACAAUUUAAUAACUAUACUAUCUUUGACUAGCAAGCCUAAGUUUUAUACACCGGUUUUGCGCUCGUUGAAUUUUGGCGCCGUGGAUUGGCGAUUAAUAGUGUUUAAAAUAGUUUUCGGUACUAAUUCAAGAAUCUUUUUUUUAAGUUCUUAUCUAUGUGCAGGAGAGCACUAUGGAGGAAAUAGGACAACAUUGAAGGUCAUGGAAGCCGAUUUUUACUGGCCAUCCUUGUACAAGGAAGCAAGAUCCUACGUGGCUACAUGUGACAAGUGCCAACGGACAGAUAACAUUAGUAAGAGGACGAGAUGCCCCUGAAUUCCAUUUUAGUAUGUGAAGUCUUCGAUGUCUGAGGCAUCAACUUUAUAGGUCCUUUCCCAUCGUCCCAUUCUUAUGAGUAUAUCCUAAUAGCCGUUGACUACGUUUCUAAGUGGGUCGAGGAAAUCCUUACUAGGACAAAUGAUGCUCGGGUAGUAUGUGAAUUUAUUCAUAAGAAUAUUUUCACCCAUUUUGGAACUCCCCAAGUCAUCAUCAGUGACAAUGGGUCACAUUUUGUUAAUAAAUAGUUUGCCUCACUGUUGUCUAAAUAUGGGGUGACUCAUAAAAUAAGAACUCCAUAUCAUGCUCAAACUAGUGGGCAAGUAGAAGUAGAUAACCGUGAACUCAAAAUAAUUCUAGAAAACACGGUCAGUGCUUCCAGAAAGGAUUGAUCAGUAAGGUUAGAUGAAGCUCCAUGGGCGUAUCAAACAUCGUUUAAGAUAACCAUAGGAACUUCACCUUUCAAGCUGGUACAUGAAAAGUCAUGUCACUUACUUGUGGAGAUAGAGAAUAAGGCUUAUUGGGCAAUUAAAUUGCUUAAUCUUGAUCUUAGUCUUGCAGGUGAGCACAGAAUGUCACAAAUGAAUGAGCUGGAGGAAUUCACAUUGGACGUGUAUGAGAAUGCACGAAUGUUCAAGGAAAAGACGAAGAAAUGGCAUGACCGUCUGAUUAAACCAAAAGAAUUUUAUGAAAGGGAAAAGGUCUUGAUAUACAAUAGUAGGCUCAUAUUGCUUCUCAAAAAAUUUAAGUCAAGAUGGAUGGCACCAUAUGUGGUGAAACAUGUAUCACCAUAUGGGGCGAUUGAGAUCCAAAACAUGGAAGGAACGGAGAGUUUCAAGGUGAAUAGGCACAGGUUAAAACCAUAUCUUGCUGGAGGAUUUGUUAACCAAUCCUAGAGCAUCAUAAUCAGUUAAAGGUCCCCACUCAACUGGAGACUAUAACUCAAAACUACCUCUAAUCUUUCUAAUAGUUUGAUUUUUCUUUUGUAGCUUAGGAUAGGCAAAAAUUUGGUGUACAGUGUGAGUUGGUGGUUAUGUUUGCGCAUAAAGCAGUAUCAACAAGUCCGAGUAUGCAUGGCCGCGCAUGUGAGGGUUUGACCGUGCAUAUAGUCGUGUAUAUGUUACAGAAACACUGGUAGUCAUCGAAGGCAACACAUGUUUUGACCCGACCGCGCACCGACUGUGCACCAGGUAAGCUCCCUAACCUCUUUUAUUUUAACCUGAAUUUUAGACCUGCACCCCUUUUUUCUCUUCUCUUCUUUUGCCCUUUUCUCUAUUCUCUCACCAAACCCAACCCUAAUCCGUUUCAAUCCACCCUCUCUCUCACACCUACACCAUACACACCAUCCCCCUCCCUCACUGUCUCUCCCUCGCCUCCUCUAAUCUAACCAACCAGUGUGUCAUCAUCACUUGAACCCUCGGGUAUGUAACUUCUUCCAUCUUUUUCAUUAUUUUAUUUUCUUUUUACGGUUCAAAGAAUGGUUUUCACCGCGGAUGAUGAACUUUAUGGCUGCUAUGUAUAUGAAUUAUUAUGUAUAUAGUCCAUCUACAGCUAAAAAUUAUUUUGUGUGGAAUAGCAGCAACUUUGUAUGUAAGGUGUUUGUUUAAAUGCCACAAUGAGAUUUUACGGUGUGUUUUCGAAAUUGUUGGCCACCUGAUGGUAAUCUAUAUAAUUUAAUUAGGUGAACUAGUAAUGGUGGCAUAUUUUAAUAUUGUGGAAUGGAUCCUUAUCAUGGCAAGGAGCAGUGUAUAUUUUAUCACUAUACGGAUGAAGCCUUAGUAACCCUUUUGGUUCGAAGAGUGGUAUAAUUUUUUAUAAUUGUUGGGUUGUUUUAGGUGCAAAAUGGCCACUUCAAAGAAAAGAAAAACCCCAAGCACAUCCACUAGUUGGCAACCGGGCACGUCCAAAUCUAAAGAUGUGGGCACUUCAAGGUCUUGUGCUUCCGCAUCCACUCACUCAUAUGAUCAAAAUAGGUUUGUCUCUUGGGAGGCCCAAGACUGGUUCCAUAGCAAGUCAAAAAAAAAGCCAAUACCUGAAAGCGGAAUAGAUAUCGGUUCUCUCCUCAAUGAGUGUUCCAGGGUUCAUGAUAAAUUAGUCCGGCGAGGAUUGGGAGCAUUCUUCAAAGAACAUGACGAGGCCAAUUUGACUGUUGUUAGGGAGUUAUAUGUGAAUUUCCCAGAACAUGAGGACUAUGUGUGUACAGUCAGAAAGAAAAAGGUGGACUUUUCUAAGGAAGCUAUCCAAAAGGCCUACCACUUACUAGAGUAUGUGGACCAAAUUGGUGAAACCAAUCACUUAGUGGAGAAUAACAAGCAACUUUACGUGUGGGCUAUGUUCUUUUAGACCAUCUAUGUGCCCGGGAAGGAGGUGGUGUGGUUAAUCAGGGACCACGAAUUUCACUUUGCUACACUAACUUUUGAAGGAAAGUGUUGGCUAUACAUCAUCAAUAAUCGCUUGAUGCCUUCCGGCAACACAAUUAAGGUGAAUGGUCCUCGGGCUGCUCUGAUUUGGUGCUUUGUAAAUGGACAAAACUUUGAUGUGGAUAAGGUCAUUCAAGAUGAGAUGACAAUUCGUUGUCCAGUGCAGAGGUAUGGGUUUUUUUCCAUCGUUAGUCACACGGUUGUGCCGUGAGGCACGAGUACCAAAAACAAGGCUACUGACGGAAAGGUAAAGAGAGAGGAAAUUUUCGUAUGAUUAUAUUAUCAUUGGGAGGGAACUUGUUGUGGCUGCUGAAGUUAAGAGUGAGGAGUUAGAUGCACCUGUAGAAGAAAGAGAGGUGCACGGGGAGGAUGUUGGUGCUAGUACCCCGCAUGAGCAAAUUGUCGGAGAAUCAUCAAGCAGUGUGUGGGAAACAAGAAUGAUUGCUUUGGAAUAAAAGAUGGUGGAGAUGUGCACUUCUGUUGAAGAUUUGGGUACUCGAGUAGAGUCACUUUCUAGGAAAAAUGCCAAGUCAGAGCGGAAGAUCAUGGCAUGGUUGUGCACGCUCGACCGGGCUUGUCACCUGGAUCCCGACACUAUCUCUAACACAGAUUGACCUAGUCAAGAAAGUUUCCUUUACCUUUGCAUUUUAAUUUUGUGACAUGAGGACAUGCCACUAGUUAAGUGUGGUGGUGGGGGUAUUGUAAAUAGCGUUGUUUAAAUUUCUUUCCUACAAAAAAGAAGCCCAAAAAUAUUUUCUUAUUUUUUUUAGGAUAACUUCUUCACUUGUACUUCCAUGGGUUUCUUGUUUGGUUCUUUAUAUGGUCUUAAUAUUUUGAACCAAACAAUUUCUAGAGUAGAUUUUUUUUUCUCUUUGAGAUUAGUUUUGAAAAGUUGUUGGUGGUUUGCAAAAAUUAACUGUUCCUAACUUAUGGGAUGCAUGAUCCUGUCCUUGUGAGUCAGAGAGACCAUUGGUGACUACGGUCUGAAUUGUGUGCCUAUCCAAAAUGCUAUGUGUGGUGAGGUGAAUAUUUGCUAGGUAAUCAUGACUCACAUGAUCUAGAACUUGGCUUGGUUGUGACUCAAGGCAAAAUCAUGGGUAAUAGUUGAGUUUGGAGAUGACUAUAGGCCUUCUUUGAUAGCCCUUCUUCUAUUGUUUUGAAACCUCCUAAGAACUGAUAAAGUUAUCCCUAGUUAGCCCAGUUGAGCCUAAUUCCCUCUUUCUUUGGCAACCACAUUACAACCUAAACCCGUAGCCGUCCCUAAGCACUUGAAUACCUUGUGUGUGAUUCUAAAAGAUAAAAAGACAUAAGUGUGGAGCUGGGGAUUGGUUUUGAGUAGAACUAAUGAGAAGUAGAAAAAGGUGCACCAUCAUGAAUGUAUGUGAGGUACGUGAGUAAGGGAUUGUGAAAAGAAUGAAAAAAAAAGAAAAAAAAAGAGAAAAAGAUAUGCUUUUGCUAAGUAAAGAAAUAAGAGUGAACAUUCCCCUGCUGAUGUAAAGUCCUUGUAUGUUGUGCUUAAAGAAAUGAGAACUCGGUGCUUUUCUGAAUUGGAGAUUUGGAGGCAAUUGUCACUGUAAAAAGUGUAGGUCAUGUAUAAAGUUGUAGGUAUUAAAAUUCUUAGGGAGGUGAAUAUACUAUUAUACAGAUUAUAUCCAACUCAUCCCAUAACCUACGUUACAACGAAAUGCAAAGUCCUACAAGAUUUAGACGAGAUUGUUCCUAUAUUAGUGGAGAGUUACACGAUAGCCAAGAUUGUGGUACUCUUGAAAGCAUGAUUCACUUCUUUGUGAGGGCGAGUGAGUGUUGUUUUAUAGCCCUAUGCUAUUGUUUGCAAUUGGUGUGUGAAUGAGCAUUGUCUCUUUAUUGUGAGGUGUAUUGAGGAUUUGGCGCCGAUUUGACCACGACACUAGUGGGAUAUCAUGACCGAAAUUAAGGUUGAAUGUGACCACAUGAUGGUAUCUAGUUCAUUCUGGCCGGCCACUUGUUUAAGGAGGUUGUAGGGUUAGGAGCAAUUUAGUUUUAGAUUUUCUCUGGACGAGCAAAAGCUAAGUGUGGGGUUGUUUGAUGAGCUUAAAAUUACUCGACAUUUAGGCCUUCUUUGUGUCCUUGAUUUGGUUAUUUUGAUAGAGAAUUAGUUUGAUUAUGGUCUAAUAUGUUGCCUUUCAGUGCAGGUGGUGCAGAGGGGAUAAAUGGACAGAUAGUGCACGAAGUGUGAGGAAAAACAAGCUGAAAGAGGAGAAAAUUCUCAUGCGCGGCCGUGAUCUCAUCCAAGUCACACCUCUAUUUAAGGUUAUGAAACAGUCGAUGCAAUAGUAUACCCAACAAGGAGCCGGGGUCGAUUUUUUCACAAGGAGUCGGGUUUUACUACCUCUAGGUUCAACCCUUUAAUUGGGCUUAUCAAUCUCUCGAUUGACCCAAUAUCUUGUUAGCCAAGUUUUCCUGGACUAAGUCUCUCUUUCUCAAGUAGAAACUAAGUCAAAUAGACAUGAACUAAUGUUUGCAACCAUUAAUUCUGCAAUUAAAAGCAAGAACAAGACUAAAUAAUAAACUCCCAACUAUAAACAAGAAAUAAAUCAAACACCAAUUAAGAUUACACUCUAAAAUUGGGUCACAACCCUAGGAAAGAAAUCUAGCUACUCAUACUUAAGAUAGAAGAAAUAGAAGAAGAAAUGAUAAUUAAACCCAUAUUGAUAAUUAAAAUGAUGAAAUCUAUGUUCGAAAAGCUCAAAAUAGCAAAAACUACUAAAGAGAGUUAAGAAAACCAUCUACUGUAGCAGCUGAUGUCCAAAACUUGAUCUAAAAAAGUGAAACUCUUCUAUUUAUACAGGGCUGACAUUUUCGGACAAAAAUACCCUUUCAGAGGUUCUGCGGCCGUACAAUUCCAUGUGCGGUCCGCACUUUGCUUCAGCCUGACAGGAUUGGAAAUCUACGAGCACAUAAUUCUGAACUACGGCUGCACUUCUUUCUUUCUGCGGUCCGCACAAAUGUGUAUGUGGCCACACCUUGCUCUUCUAUGGUCCGCACAAAUGAGAUGGCGGCCGCGUAGCUGUUCUUCUGCGGCCGCACAAUAUUUGUGUGGCAUGUACUUUUGUUGAACUUGAGAUAUAGGUUCUCUGAACCUUUUUUGUUACACAGUUUCUGUUGCCGCACUUUUCAUAUACGGACUGCACUUUUCAUACUUCUCUGAUGGGGCAUUUCUUCACAUCCUACGGUCGCAGAUGAUAAUCUGUCGUCCACACUUCUGAGCUUCUUAGCCUGCUUUUGUCCUUGAGUUCAGAUCACUCCUUCUUGAGUUGGAUUUCAUUUUGGGAGCUCAUCUUCCAAUAUUCCUGCAAUUAAGCACAUUUCAUUAGUUUACAGGACACAAUUAAGCGCUUUUGGACUAAAAUGAAAGUAAAAAGGCGCUAAUAAGUAGUCAAAAGCCCCACUUAUCAACUCCCCCAAACUUAAGUUUUUGCUUGUACUCAAACAAAUAAGGUAACUCCCACCUCCACAAGUUAAGAGCUAUUCCAGCUAAUCAAAGAUGCAUCAAUCACACAUCAAUUGGGACCAACAAUUACCCACAACACUUAUAAAUUAUCAACAAGGCAAUAGGUUGAACUUUUAAGCACAAAUAGUUCUAAUAUGAUACUUGGGCAUCAAAAGUUGACUUUAUUCAUCAAGGAAGCUCGUUCUUUCAUUUAGGUCAUUAUGGAUCCCAAACUCCUCUUCCUCUACUCUCCAUUUGCAUAUCUCACGUAAGAAUAUAGCACUCAAUUCAGAGAUUUGUGAUAGGUUCGCUCAUCUCUCUUAAAAAAUAUAUUGCAAGUACGACCCUAAGUACCAUAUGCUUGCCCCUCAUGUAAAUAACCACUAAUGUAAGCUCACUUGGCUUAAAAUCACGUAGGGCUUUUUCGGAACUCAAAGAAGGCUUUUGGACUAAGGUUGGAUAUGCUAUGAUAGAACAGAUUCAUCUUUCCUUAAGCACUCCAUUUUCUCUUAUCGGCUCAUGUUUUGCCAACUCUUUGAGGCAUUUUCUUUUUCUUAGGGGAAUUAGAGAGACCUACGUCACUCUUUCUUGGUCAUGAUAUUCAUUUUCUCCUUCUUUGCUUUCUCCAUGCUUUGCAUCAUUACUUUCCUUUGAAUUCCUUCAACUCUUCAACUUAUUCACUUUCGUUUUGCAUUUUUCUUUUUGUUUUUUCUUUCUUUUCCUUGCCUUUCCUUCUCUUCAUUUCUUUUCUCUUCUUUGUGCCUUGAUACCCUUUUCAAACUCUUCGCCUCUCUCCCAAACUUAUGUUUUUAUCCAAUUGUUACACAAGAGUGUUAAGGAAAACUCGGGUGCCAAGAGAGGGUCAUGACAAAACGGGUAAAGGCUUGUAACAUGGUUAUCAAAUGAGAAAGGUUUUAGGCUCAAAUGGGUUGACUAGGGAUAAAAUAUUGGUGGGCUAUGGAAAACAAGCGGGUCAAGGAGAGCAUACAAUCACUUCUCAAGCCAAGAAGAACUUGAAAUUUUACCUUGAAACACUUUCGGGGCAAGUUCUAGACCAUUCGCACGGAUACUUUGACUUGCAACAGAAAUAUCUUACUUCUCACGUAGCUAGAUUGUUAAAGAGGAUAGAGUCGAGGGCCCACAAAGACUAGAAUCAAUAUUGAAAAUCAUUACGAUUUGACUAAACCGCUCGAUGAUUGCUUAAGUCAACACAAGAGUCAAAAUAUUACUAACUAGAGUUAUUUCUUUCCAAAAGCUUAUUUUUAACCAUAAGCAUAUAGUUAAGUGUGUUGGUACCGAGUGAAGAAUGUUUGACUCUUCGAGCCUGACUCAAUUAGGUAUUUUUAUUCAUUAUUACUACUAUUCUUACCUAAAUACGAAAAAUGGACUCAAUCCCUUAAGAAAGUUGUCACGCCAUCCAUCGUUGGGAAGAGUUACCCGGUUCACACAAAAACUACCUUUGGAAAGAACCAUGGUAUUAAGAAAACCAAAGGCUUAUUGUCCACUCAAACAUAAAGAGAAGCUACUAAAUUAAAUAGAAGCUACUAAAUUAAAUAUUGACUAAUAAGAAAAUAGAAUAAAGAAGCUACAAAGCAAACUACUGAAAGCAUAAUGAAUAUACAUAAUGAGAGAGGAAAAGAGAGAAUAUAUAUACAUCAGCGAGAGAGGGAGAAAGGAGAGAAUAUAUACAUGAUAAAGAGAAAGAAGAAAAUUAUUGUCAGUCAUUACAAAUCAAAUGUCUAGAAAUCAUCAAAAUAACAAAUAAACUCCACCCCUCCCCCCCUCCCCCGAAUAAAAAUAAGCGUUGUCCCCAAUGCUUAACAAAAAAAAAUAAAGAAGGGUAAGAGUGAAGAGGACUCCCUAUGUGGCCUUGAACAACUCCGUGUCUAUAGCAGCAUCACCGCCCUCAGUCUCCUCUAACUAGAUCUCAUUAUCCUCGGCUCUGGGAGUAACUGGUUUGGUGAACAUUUGGCUCACCACCUCAGCAGCAUCGGCAGCCAAGUCUGGCUCCUCAGAUUGACCAGCUGGUGCCACUGAAACUAAUGGUGUUUUGGGAUCUACUGGUGAUGGUGGAUCUGUCUCCAUCAGUAUAUCAAAUGGGAGAUCACCAGCUGUUGCUAUCAUGGUCACCUCUCUCCUCAGCCUGUCAACUAAUUUCUUGGACGCUUGGGAUUUCUUCAUUUUCUUUACCUGCUUCUCCAGCUCCUCAAUCAUUACUCCAUGUGUACCAAGGUAUUCAUGAUGGUGGUCUAGUUCUCCAAGAUCUUCUUCAAUGUUCCUCUACUGUUAGAGUAAUCUGGGGUGCCAGAGUGGAUGAUUGUGGCUGCAACAAUACUGGAUAUGUCAGACUAUUUUGUAGUGGUUGUCUGCAUCCAGUUGUUGAGGCCCGCCAGUGUCUGGGAGACUCGCAAUGUAGAUAACGGUUGAUUGGGCACAGGUAUCGGCUUCAAGGCCAAGGUGGAAGGUUGAUGCUGAAGGUGGAGGCAUUGCAGCUGCACUAACAGAAGGCACUGCUGAAGUGGAAGGCAUAUAUGCUGACUUUGCAGCUACCACCGAAGGCGCAUCAGACUGGCCUAUGGUAGUAGUCGGCUGACCCUUUUUCUUCAGGUUCUUUAGGUCCAUCAGAGAAUACCAAGAGAAAGGCUUAUUUGCCCGAACCUUUGUGUCAAAAUCCUUGUUUUCUACCCGUGCAUUUGUAAGGUACUCCGUGAUAGUAUUGGGAUAAGGGUAGGAGGUGUCACCUUGCCUGGCGACCACAAACAUAUUGGCCGACAUCAAGGCACACACAUUGAUUAGGUACCCGACCAUGAUAUAUGCAACUAGCAUUGCCCGCAAAAUUGGAAAAUUGGUUUCAUUUUGGCACAGGUCUAGUCUGUUACACACAAAUGUAUGUCAUCCCUUUACCUCAACAUUCAGGGUGUUCCGCUGAAUAAGAACCCUUGUAGUGAUCUAUGGUAGUGGUGGACCCGGGGCCGCAAGAAUCUCAGUUAGCCAUAGGCGAGCUGCGUCUCCCAGUGCUAACGUUUCCCGAUAUUGCACAGGCUCCACAUCCUCAAACCCGAAAUACGUGUUUAGGGUGUUCUGAUCGAACCUCACCUUUAGAUUUCUCACUUUUGUUACCUUGGUCCCUUUCUUUAUAUGCACCACAUUAGCAUAAAAUUCCCAGAUCAGGUAGUCCUUAGCAUCUACCAUACUCUAGCUGAACCACAUCCACCCCUUCCGCUCCCGGAACUGUCUCAACACUGCUUGGUUGUAUUUACCUAGGUCUUUCAACAUGAACUGAAGCUCAAGAGUGAGCAAUCUCACCUGCCACCAAUCUUGAAACUUGUGAAGGCAUCUAGACUAAUAAACCUAUCUUCCCACAUCUCUUUAUUCUUCGACCUCUCAAGGCCAACAACUCUGGUAUCACCCCCUCGGCCAUAUCAUCACAUCCACUGUAGUAGCUGGUGUGUUGGGGGCAUGUGUAGAUGAGGGCUCUGAAGCCUGACUGUCACCUUCCAAACCCUUGGAAGUGCUCUCAGAAGUGGAAGGCUCGCCUUGGAGUUGAUAUCUUCCCUGAAGCUGUUGUGACUAUGAUUGAACAACAAGCUGCUCUUGCACUAAUUUGCCCACCGAUGUUUCCCUAUAUGGGACAUAAGAGCUUGAUUCGGCUAGUUCUGCAGGUCUACCUCAAUCAGCGGUCGCCUUUUUGGAUAUAGCUCUUUGAAGGGCGAGGGGUAAGGCACUCUUGCCUCGGCCUCUGGAAGGUUCACCUUUCCCCUUUGAUGUAUCGCCACGACCUCGUGAUCUAACCAUUUUCUGUAACAAACAGUAGUAUGAGUUAGUUCUAGUUCAAGUGCAGAAAAACAGACAUUCACAGAACAAAACAUGUUGCAGGGUGGGGAAGUGCGGACCGCACAAAUGCAAGUGUGGCCACAGACUAGGUUGUGCGGACCGCACUUGAAAGUGCGACCGCAGAGAUGAAACUACGGUCCGCACAAUCUUAAGUACGAGCACAGAAUUGAAGUGCGGUCCGCACAUUUUUGAGUGCAGCUACACAUUAGACUUUUCAAAAGUUCCCACUCUCUGAUGACUGAGAUUUGCCUGAUCUGCACCCGCUCACACUUUUUUGUGGCCGAGAUGGAAUUUUUGUAGUCCGCAAAAUUUCAAGUGCGACCGUAUAAUUGACUUGACCAAAGACCCUAGAUUGCAUCUUCUGCAUACCGCACAAUUGCUUGUGCGGCCGCAGAUUUCAAAAUCAAAACAAGCAGACUUUUAGGGUUUUCAAGUUUUUGCACAGAUUCAACAUGGUAUUAAAAAUUAAGCAGGAAAAUGAAUUCACCCAGUCCCAUAAAGAAAUUAGGAGUUGACCUAUUACAGAUUAACCCCUACAUGGUAUUAGAAUUGAAAUCUAUUGACAAAUGGCCUAAAACUACCUAAAAAAUUGUAAAUUAAACUAAGAAAAUUUAAAAAUUGCAUGAGAAAUUGAGCAUACCAGCUAUGAAGGAGUGCAACUAAAUGAUCACAGGUGUAGAUGGAGUGUGGCACAUGAUCGAACAGAUGAUUUCAAAGUGUUAGAGUUUAGAGUGCUCAGAGAGGGAAAACCUUGUACAGUAGCCCAAGGAUACUAUUUAUACUAGCAGGCAAACUUUGGGAAACAAAGGAGGAGUGCGGCAGCAAAAUUCCUUCUGCAGUCCGCACUCUGUUACCUGAAGGCUCAGUAGCCUUGCUGAUCUGCGGUACACACAAUUUGUAGUGCGACCGCAGAAUUUGGCUACAGACCAUAUAAUUUGGUGUGCGGCCGCAGAAUGGCUAAUUCUCUAACAAACCAAAAUUCAGAGAGUUUGCAUUUUCCCCAUCCAAUUUGUGUGGUCCGCACUACAGUUGCCUUCUGCUGUAGCAUUCAAAAUUAUGACGUUCGCAUAAUACAUGUGCGGUCCGCACUUUUUUUAUACUUCGCCAAUUUUUCUGAGCAUAGUUCCUGUAAAGCACACUCAUUCCUGCAACACACAUCAAAUCCAGUUAGCAUAAAAUAAGACCUAUCUAAAGAAGAAGAAAAGAAAAAGAAACAUGGGUUCCCUCCAAAGAAGCGCUUGAUUUAAUGUCACGGCAUGAUGCUAAUUACCAUCACUUGAAAUAUACCUCCACGACGUGGCCAUCACCAACUCUUUCCAAAUAAUACUUCACCCGGUGACCAUUGGCUCUAAACACCUCAUCAUUUUUAUUCUUCAAGUCCAAUGCACCAAAAGGUGUCAGUCCCACAACCUCAAACGGGCCACUCCAUUUAGACUUUAACUUUCCGAGAAACAUCUGUAACCGUGAAUUGAACAAUAACACAAGAUCACCCUCUUUAAGCUCUUUGUUCCAAAUGUACUUGUCAUGAAGAUAUUUCAUCUUCUCUUUGUAUAAGGACGAACUUGUAUAUCCAUGGUACCGGAACUCAUCCAACUCAUUCAAAUGUGCCACCCUUAAGUUGGUGGCGACAUCCCACUCAAGAUUCAACUUCUUUAAAGCCCACAUGGCUUUGUGCUCAAGUUCCAUCGAAAGAUGACAAGCUUUUCCGAACACCAACCGGUAUGGAGACAUUCCUAUAGGUGUUUUAUAAGCCGUCCUAUAAGCCCAUAAAGAAUCAUCAAGUUUCUUGGACCAAUUCGUCCUGUUAGCAUUCAUAGUUUUGGACAAAAUACUCUGUAUCUCCCGGUUAGAGACUUCCACUUGACCACUUGCUUGUGGAUGAUAGGGAGUCAUGACUUUAUAAGUGACACCAAACUUGGUGAGUAAGGUGUCGAAAGCUUUGUUGCAAGAAUGCCCCCCCCCCCACCCCUCUAUGAUAGCCAGCGGAGUACCAAACUUUGUGAAAAUAUUCUUCUUCAAAAAUUCCACCACACUUCUUGCUUCAUUGUUGGGUAAAGCAACGGCCUCAACCCAUUUGGACACAUAAUCAACCGCGACCAAGAAGUAGGUAUUUCCACAAGGACCCAUGGAGUCAGUAGCCCACCUAUCGAAAAUAUCAAUCUCAAAAAUGGUGGUGAGGGGCAUUUCAUUUUUCUUUGAGACUCCACUGGCCCUUUGACAUUCAUCACAACACUUGACUAGAUCACUUGCAUACUUGUAAAGAGUAGGCCAAUAGAAACCGCAACUUAGCACUUUGGCCACUGUUCUUGCUCCACCAUGGUGACCACCUACGGCGAAGAAUGACAAGCCCCAAGAAUUUCAAAUUGUUCCUCCUCUAGUACACAUCUUCUAAUCACUCCAUCCGUAUAAAUCCGGAAUAGGUACGGUUAGUCUUGAAAAGCCCGUUUGAGCUUCUUCCUUUGGUUUGAAGAGAACUCAUCCGAGAUGAUACCACUUACAAGAAAAUUUGCUAGAUCCGUGAACCAUGGCUCCUCUUUCAUUGAAAUAGCCAAGAGUUAUUCAUCUAGGAAGGAGUCAUUGAUUUCAAGGCCAUCAUGUAGUCCCCCUCCUCCUCCAAACGAGAAAAGUGGUCCGCCACUUGGUUUUCACUUCCUUUUCGAUCUUGGAUGUCUAUACCAAACUCUUGCAACAAAAGCACCCAUCUCAUCAAUCGGGCUUUGGAAUCUUUCUUGCUCAUAAGAUAAUGAAGUGUCGCAUGAUCCGUAUGGACAAUGACUUUUGCACUCAUCAAGUACGGGCGGAACUUCUCAAUAGCAAACACAAUGGCAAUGAGCUCUUUCUCCAUAAUGGUGUAUUUGACUUGGGAACUAUGCAUGGUCUUACUAGCAUAGUAGACCGGAUGAAAAAUCUUAUUGAUGCGCUGCCCCAAAAUAGCCACUACCACUACAUCGCUUGCAUUGCACAUGAGCUCAAAAGGAACACUCCAAUUUGGAGCGGUGAUUAUGGGAGUAGUAUUCAACUUGAACUUUAGAAAUUCAAAGUCUCUCAUGCAUUCAUCAAGUGGAACUUAGCAUAUUUCUCCAAAAGCGUGCACAAUGGGUUCACCGCUUUAGAGAAAUCCUUGAUGAAACACUGGUAAAAUCCCACGUGGCCUAAGAAACUCCACACGCCUUUAACCGAAGUUGGAGGUGGAAGUUUAGAAAUCACCUCAAUCUUUGCCUUUUCGACUUCAAUGCCAUUAUUUGAGAUCUUGUGGCCAAGGACAAUGCCUUCCUCGACCAUGAAAUGCCAUUUCUCCCAAUUGAGCCCCAGGUUUGUUUUUUCACAUCUUGGCAACACUUUAUCCAACUUUGCGAGACAAUCAUCAAAAGAAUUCCCGACCACUGAGAAGUCAUCCAUGAAGACUUCAAGGUAAUCCUCCACCAUGUCCAUGAAGAUUGCCAUCAUACACCUUUGAAAAGUCGUCGGUACAUUGCACAACCUAAAUGGCAUCCGCUUGAAGGCAAAAGUACCAUAAGGACAUGUAAAGGUAGUCUUCUAUUGAUCCUCCGGAGCAAUACGAAUUUGGUUGUAGCCGGAAUACCCAUCAAGGAAACAAUUUGAAGCACGUCCGGCCAAUCUAUCAAGCAUUUGAUCUAAGGAAGGGAAGUGGAAAAUGGUCCUUCUUUGUGACUUUGUUGAGCUUACGAUUGUCCAUACACAAUCUUCACCCGGUCACCGUUCUUGUUGGAAUCAAAUCAUUCUUAUCAUUGGUGACCACCAUCAUACCCCUUUUUCUUUGGGACACAUUGAACCGGAAAAGUCCACGAACUAUCGAAAAUGGGGUAGACAAUCCUGGCAUCCAACCACUUGAUAAUCUCCUUUUUGACAACCUCUUGCAUGGCUUUAUUGAGUUUCCUUUGAUGUUCAAUAGAUGGUUUUCCACAUUCCUACAAGUUAAUCUUGUGCAUGAAAAAUACAGGGUUUAUCCCUCGUAUAUCCUCCAAUGUCCAUCCAAUAGCCUUCUUCCUCUUUUGUCACCGCCAGUGUAAAGUCUACCUGCACGUUAGUCAAACAAGUGGAAAGAAUAACUGAUAAAGUAGAAGAAGGGCCAAGAAAUUCAUACCGAAUAUGUGGAGUCAAUGGCUUCAACUCCAAGAUAGGAGUCUCUUCAAUUGAAGGUUUUCUAGGAGGAGUUGUCCUAUUUUCAAGAUCCAAGGACAAUUUGCGGGGUUCAUAAGUGUACAACCACAUUCCUUGCAAAGAGUUCACACAUUCCAUGAAUCCAUCCAUCUCAUCAUCAUCAAAGUUGAGCAAGAUGGCCUCCAAUGUAUCAUUAACAUUCAUCACAACACUUGUUUCAUCUACAAUCACAUCGGUCAUCAAGUCCAUGAAAGAACACACCUCUUUGCUAUUGGGUUGCCUCAUGGACUUACACACAUGGAAAAUCACGUUUUCAUCACUAAGCCGGAAGGUAAGUUCUCUGGCUUCAACAUCAAGUAGAGCCUUCCUCGUAGCAAGGAAAGGUCUGGCACCUCAUAAUCAACCUCACUAUCAAGAAUGACAAAAUCCGCCAGAAGAAUGAAUUUAUCAACACGAACCAAUACAUCUUCAAUCACUCCUAAUGGUCUCUUCAUGGUACGAUCGGUCAUUUUUAAUCUUAUAGAUGUGGGUCUUGGUUUCCCAAUUCUCAAAGUCUUGAAAACUAACUAGGGCAUCAAAUUGAUACUUGCCCCAAGAACACAAAGAGCUUUUGCAAACUCAGCACUUCCAAUUGUAUAAGGAAUCGUGAAAGCGCCAGGAUCCUCCAACUUGAGAACCAUUGAAUGCACAAUUGCACUCACUUGAUGAGUCAAUUUUAUAGUUUCAAAAUUCAUCAACCGCUUCUUUGUCACUAAAUCCUUCAUAAACUUUGCAUAACUGGGCAUUUGCUCCAAGGCUUCAACCAAUGACACAUUGAUUGAUAGACUCUUCAUCAUGUCAAUGAACCUUUUGAAUUGAUUCUCGCCAUUUUUCUUGGCAAGACAUUGAGGAUAUGGAGGAGGAGGCCUAGGCAUUGGUUCCUUAUCCUUUUACACUACUGGUUCCGGUAUGUCAACAAUGUGAUCCCUAGACGGGUUCACUUCCUCUUAAGCUUCUUCCACAUUGUUAUCAAUAUCAAUCCGCACUUCAUCAUUUUCUUGCACCACAUGGUUCGGGGUCUCAUCUUCUUGAACCACUUACUCAUCAUCCAUAAGUUUCCUUUGACUUGAGGUGGGUGAAUCCCCACCUUUUCCACUCCUUGUAGUAAUGUCCAUGGCAUGUCCCGUGUUGUUCCCACCCUUUGGGUUCACCACCAUGUCACUUGGUAGUUCCCUCUUAGGACGAGUGUUUAGAGCGUGAGAGAUUUGCCCUAUUUUAACUUCCAAGUUGCAAAUUGAUGUGUUGUGUGAGGCUAGUUGGGCAUCGGAGUCGGAAUUCUUCUCCAUCCUUUGUUUGAACAUAUUCUCAAAUUGUCCCAUCUCAUUGUUGGAAGAACAAGGACCAUGGGAAGGAUAAGGAGGUGGGUUGCUCGGUUGUUGAUACAUCGGGGGCCUUUGAAAAUCCGACCCCCAAUUGCCUUGAUUAAUGUUCCAUCCCCCUUGGUUGUUGCCUCCCCAAUAUCCUUGGUUGUUGCCACUCCAAUUGCCUUGGUUAUUUCCACCACUCCAAUUUCCUUGAUUGUUGUUAUUAUUCGAAUUCCCUUGUUUGUCGCCACCACUCCAAAUACCUUGGUUGUUAGAAUUGUUAUUACCUUGAUUACCUUGAGGUCGCCAUUGUUGUUGAUUCAGGCCUUGAGAGUUGUUUCUUUGCCCUUGAAAGUUGUUCACGUAUUGCACUUCCUCCUCUUAUUUAUUGUAAGAUUCAUCUUGAUCAAACCUACUAUCUUCUUGCACAUAAUUCUCCACACGGUUUUGCACUUGUGGACCCUUGGGCCUUCUUUUGUUCACCAUCAUACUAACUCCGUCCAUGCCAUUAACUUGCUUAAGACUUUGCACUGGUUGAAGUUGAGCCUUGGCUAAUUGAUUCAUUAUGGUGGUCAACUCGGCAAUGGCUUGCCCAUGAUCAUGCAAUUCUUUAUGUAGCGUUCGGAUCACCUUGAGGAACAUUUGCCCUACUUUGCCAUGCCUAUAAAGUGUCCGCCAUUUCAUUAAAAUCUUAUAAGCUUGCACAUACGGCGUUGUCAUGAAAUUUCCACCAGCAAGUUGAUUGACCAUGCACUGAUUGGUAGUAUUGAUCCCCCGAUAGAAGGUUUGUUGAAUCAUAGCCUCUGUCAUGUCAUUACUGGGGAACUCUUUGACCAUAGUUUGGUACAUAUCUCAUAUUUCAUGCAACGGCUCAUUGAGCUCUUGUUUGAAUGCUAGAAUCUCAUCUCUAAGAGUAGUCAUAUGUCGGGGAGAAAAUAACUUGGAAAUAAAAUUCUCAGCCAACUCAUCCCAUGUAUGGAUGGAAUGGUUUGGUAAUCUCUCUAACCAAUCCAAGUCUUUCCCCCGUAGAGAGAAAAGAAAUAUCCUCAAUCUUAAAGCAUCAUCGGAGAUGUUUGUCUGUUUACUCCCCCAAUAAAUGUCCAAAAACCUCUUCAAGUGUUUGUAUGCAUUUUGACUAGGAGCCCCGUGAAGAAUCCCCGCUGCUCUUGCAAUGUAAGCAUUACAUUCGUGAUUUGAAAGUUGACUACCCUAAUAUGAGGCGGGACUAUGGCACUUGCAUACCCUUCAUUCGGCAACACCCAGUGUGGAGCCGCUUUUGGUGGAGGUGGGUGUAGAACUAGGACGUUGUCUUGAGGCGGUCGGCCUCUUCUAUUUGCUUGAGGUUCAAGAGAAACCUCUUACACUUGGUCAUCUUCAGCGUCCACAUCCCCCAAAGGCAUGUUUCUGAGUUGAUCAUUAUUGAGGGCCAUUGUUACACCUACAAUUAAUUCACAAAAAUCAGUAACAAGGAAGGAAAAGAAGACAAUUCACACAUAAAACUAAAUAUAUAGCUAAAUUCGUUUUAGCUCCUCGGCAACGACGCCAAAAAUUGAUCUCGUCCAAGUCACACCUCUAUUUAAGUUUAUGAAAUGGUCGAUGCAAUAGUAAUACCCAAUUAGGAAUCGAGGUCGAUUUUCCACAGGGAGCUAUGAAUGGGACUUAGGGGUAUAUAUUAUAGUGUGUGAGAUUGAGUUAUCUCAAAUUGCACUUCCACAAUCUUGGGUUGUUUCUAGGUCUAAUUUAAUCUAAGAUUACAAACUAAGAAUUGAAAUUAGGAAACUGUUUUUGUUGUUAUUUUUCAAAUGAUAUAAAAGGCCUAGGGCUAUGACCUUCACCUGGGUUUUUGCCUAAUAAGUUGUAAACUUUAAUGCUUGUUUUAUUGGUCGGGAUGUAUUAUAGCUAUCAACACUCAAGUACCCACUCAAUACCUCUCGGUCAAAGAGUAAUUUUUCCCAAUUUGACUUUCCCAAUUUCAAAUUGGUAUUGAACAAAACGGCUGAUACAAAGCUCAAGUCGGGUUUUACUAUCUCUAGGUUCAACCCUUUAAUUAGGCUUAUCAAUCUCUCGAUUGACCUAAUAUCUUGUUAGCCAAGUUUUUCUGGACUAAGUUUCUUUUUCUCAAGUAGAGACUAAGUCAAAUAGGCAUGAACUAAUGUUUGUAACCAUUAAUUCUACAAUUAAAAGCAAGAACAUGGCUAAAUAAUAAACUCUCAACCAUAAACAAACAAUAAAUCAAAUACCCAUUAAGAUUACACUCUAGGGUUGGGUGACAAUCCUAGUAAAAAUCUAGCUACUCAUGCUUAAUAUAGAAGAAAUAGAAGAAGAAAGGAUAAUUAAACCCAUGAUAAUUAAAAUGAUGAAAUCUAUGUUCAAAAAGCUCAAAAUAGCAAAAACUACUAAAGAGAGUAAAGAAAAUUGUCUACUGUAGCAGCUGAUGUCCAAAACUUGACCUAAAAAAGUGAAACUCUUCUAUUUAUACAAGGCUGAAAUUUUCAGACAAAAAUGCCCUUUCGGAGGUUCUGCGACCGCACAAUUCCAUGUACGGUCCUCACUUUGCUUCAGCCUAACAGGAUUGGAAACAUGCGGCCGCAUCAUUCUGAACUGCGGCUGCAUACCUUUUUUUCUGUGAUCUACACAAAUGUGUCUGUGGCUGCUUCUUGCUCUUCUACGGUCCGCACAAAUGAGAUAGUAGCCACGUAGUUGUUCUUCUGCAGCCGCACAAUAAUUGUGUGGUCUGCACUUUUGUUGAACUUGAGAUGCAGGUUCUCUAAACUUUUAAUCUUUCCCAAUUUCUGCGGCCGCACUUUUUACACUUCUCUAAUGGGUGUUUCUUCACAUCCUGCAGCCGUAGAUGAUAAUCUGUUGUCCGCACUUCUGAGCUUAUGUGCAUGUUUUUGUCCUUGAGUUCUGAUCACUCCUUCUUGAGUUGGAUUUCAUCUUGGGAGAUCAUCUUCCGAUAUUCUUGCAAUUAAGCACAUUUUAUUAGUUUACGGGAACACAAUUAAACGCUUUUGGGCUAAAAUGAAAGAAAAAAAAUGUUAAUAAGUAGUCAAAAUCCCCACUUAUCAAGACGCGCACUAGAAGCCACAAACUCACAAGGGUCAUAGAAAAACUGGUAGAGGUGUGUGGCCAUAUGCGCCCCUAUACACCAAGAUGCGCGGCUGCGCACGUCUGUCUCCGGGAAUUUUAGUCAGGCCUAUUUUUGUAAAUUGGGAGGCAUCCUUUUAACCUAUAUAAAGCCUAAUAUUGUCCCAAAACAUGGCAUUUCGGAUUUAUGGAGUAACCUUUGGAGAGAAGAAGGCAAGGAAGAUCAUAGACUUUUGAAUACUUCAUCUGAAUCAUUCAAUACGAAAGUUGGUUUGAAUUUGCGGGUUAUAAUAUUUCUUGUCCUCUUAUUACUCUUUGAUGAACAAUUUCUCCACUAUGGAGUAGUCCUUCUUAGGGUUAUUGAUAAAUAUUAUGAAUUGAUUAUUAAUCGGGGGUUUGAUUGCUGUUAGUUUCUCGAAUUUGUCGAACGAGUUCUGAAUUAAUUUACAAAGGUACACGGGGUUUCACUUUAAUCGGAAGAAAAGUGGGCAGCAGUUAUCAUUGUGUUAUCCUGUUUGGGUUAAUUUCAUGACUCUCAUAGGUAAUCGAAUGAGCUUGUAGAGUUAUCAACUGACCAAAUUUAGAGUAAUAGUCGAGAGACGUUCCUCGUAAGAACAUUCAUUCAAUGUAUUCGUGCAUACGUUUCAUAGCACUUGCCAUUAGGUUGUUUAACAGAACUCUUAUUCAUUCGGAAGAAGAAUUUGAAUCCUUAAUAUAGCCUAAUCAUCUGUUGAAAUCGAAAGUGUCAAUAGAAUUUAAGAGUGAACUUAGCAUAGAGUUAUCCCGAAUAUAGUUGAUCACAUAUCUUGUCAAGCCCUUAUUUCUCACAUUGAUAUUCAAUCGUUGCUACUUAGUCACUCAAUUUUCAUUAUUCAUUUACAAUUGAUAAUCUUAGUUUUUAUUCUUAGUUCAUUAAUAAAUCAAAAUCAAAGGUUUAUUUUCCUGAAUAGUGUUAAGCUGAAGAUUCAUUUGAACAUUAUUUAAACCAAUCCCAGUGGAGACGAUUUAAUAACUAUACUAUCUUUGACUAGCUAGCCUAAGUUUUAUACACCGGUUCUGCGCUCGUCAGUAGGGAGACGAAAAGGGAUAGUACAAGAAUAUUGUUCAUAGGUGCAUAACAACAUCAUUUUUUUUACUUAUUAAGAUUUAACAUGUUGGCCGGAGAGUUGUAUUUUAGUAAAACAAGUAAUACAGGAGGAUGAUAUAUCCUUAACCUCAAUAAUACAACAUAACGAUAAAAAGUUAUCCUUCAAAAACUGGGAAGGGGAAUUUUUUGCAUUCCUUACCCAGUCCAAAAUAAAGAUUAGACUAACAAAAAAACUUGUCUUAUUAUACUUAGUUCUGAUGCUAGGCAUUUGGUAUUUGUCUAAUUGAUAUGUCCCUUUGAAACUUUUUAGAAGUUGUUGGAAUGAGAAGUAGUAGGAUCCCUCUGUUGAUGUAGUAUCAAGUUUAGAAAGGGAAUCCGCAACUUGAUUGGCCUCCCUAUAGCAAUGUAUAAUAUUAACAUUAGCAUGAUCCAACAUCUGAGAAGUGUAUUCUAUAGUUAUAAGCUCUCUUCUUCUUCAGCAUAUUAGUCACAAUCAUGGAGUCUAAUUCUUGAGUAAAAUUUAUGUAUCCAUGUUCAAUAAAACAAUUUACUCUAAACAAGCCGCCUGAGCUUCUACAUAGUUGUUGCUACUGCACUGAGUGGGAUAGAGAAGGCCAUAACUAUGUCGCCAUCAUCAUUCCUUAAAAUCCCUCCCAUUCCAGCUAUGUUAUUCGCCUUUAGGAAGCUACCAUUAGUAUUUAGCUUGAAAGUGUCUGUCUCAAGUGUGUUCCAGAGAACUAUUGUGAUCCUUGGGAUAGGAUGUAGCUUCACUAGGUUGUCACAAAGAUUAUUCCAGGGAAGACAGAGCUUGCAGUUCGGAAAGGCUUUAGAUAUAGCUGAUCCAACUAUCCAACAAACGUGUUGGCCCAUUUUGAAUAAGUUUAACUUCUUUUGAUUGUCAUAUUUACAUGAGCAUCUUUCUUUUCAAAUAGUCCAGUAGAUGAUAGUUGGAGUGAUUUGUAGCACAAGUUUAAGUACAUCAUUCAAGGCAUUUACCUGCCACCAGUUAUUAAUGGUAAAUCUAACAGACCUCUGCUGAUGCGUUAUGCCCAAUAGGGAACCUAUUAGUUUCCAAAUAUAACUAGCUGGCUCUCCUUCCAUGAAAACAUGUUGAAAAGUUUCACUUUUGGGAGAUAAGUAGCAGUUACAUCUAGAAAACAAAGUUGACAAUAACAUCAUCAAAAUGUAGUUUUUUGUUCUACAAUCUCCAAGUAAGAAAAGAAAUUUUAAAAGGAAUAGAGGAGUGUCAUACCAUGCUUAAGAUUAGCUCUUUAGGUUUUCUAGUUCUGAUCAUUUCAAGUGUAGUUUUGUUGGAGUAGUUUUAUUCCUCUAACAAGUUCCAAAAAACUUUGUCUGGAAUUGUCCUCUUCCCAAUAAGAAUUCCAAUAAUAUGAUGAACCAAAGAUUCUGGAAGAAUGCUCUUUAGUUUGUGAAUAUUCCACUCCCCAUUUUGUAUGAAAUUCUUCACUAGAAUCUUGGGGCUUUUGUUAGUCAUGGGGACUAGAGCUGCUAGGGGACUUUUAUUAGUCCAGUUAUCCCACCAGAAGCAAUAAUAACCUCAAUUAAUAUGUCGUAGCAUGAGAUUUUUAGCAUUCUUUCUAACCUUGGUCAUAUGUUUCCAGGAAUGUGAGCUCCUAGAAGCCACUUGUUUAGCAAUCGAUGAGCUCUAAUGCAAUACUUAUGUUUGAUGAAGUUGGCCCAUAGAGAAGAAAUGGCUCUAAAUCUCCACCAUCUUUUGGUGGCUAAUACUUCACUGAUAUCUUUCAUUUUUCUUAUGCCUAUUCCUCCUUCAUCUAUAGGAAAUUAAAGAUUUUUUCAAGACCUCCAGUGGUACAUCCUUUGAUCCUUACUACUAUCCUAGAAAAAAUUAGCAAGAUAUUUUUCAAUAAGAUGAAAGGUAGAUUUAGGAGGGACAUAUAGGAGAGAGUGUAUAUAGGCAGAGAUUGUAGAACAUUCUUGAUUAACACCAUUCUACCUCAAGGAGAAAGCAUGUUACCUUACCAACCAUUGAGUCUUUUUAUUACCUUGUGAACCAUAUUAUCAAAGUAAGCAAUUUUAUUUCUACCAACAUAUAGAGGGCAUCCAAGCUAAGUAAUAGGGAAGACCUUGUCAAGAAAGCCUGUGCAUUGUCUCGUUCCAUUGAUCCUGGAGGCACAGGUCUUAGGGGCUAUUAAGAAGAAGCUCUUAUCCCUAUUGACAAGCUGACCAUAGCACUCCUCAUAAUCUUUUAUUACCUUGAUAAUCAUAUUAAUUGAUAUACUACUUCCAAUUCUAAAGAUAACAACACCAUCAAUAUAAGCUAGAUGACUAAUAAUAGGACAUCUAGAAGGCAUGAAGAAAGGCAUCAAGUUGUUCUUCUAGUUAAGAUUAUUCAGGGAUCUAGAUAAAGGUUCAGCAGCAAGAAUAAGAAGGGAAGGGGAAAUAGGACCCCCCCCCCUUGCUUUAAGCCUUGAAAAGAAGUGAAGAAGCCAUUUCUAGAGCCAUUAAUAAUUAUAGAGUACCAAACCCCAAAAAUAAGGUUUUGGACUAACUCUAUCCAUAGUUCAGAGAAGCCAUAUCUCCUAAGAACUGAUGUGACAAAUAAUCAAGACAUUCUAUUAUACGUUUUCGCCAUAUUCAGCUUAAUAACAAUGUUACCGCCUCGAUUAUUCUAUGAAAUACUUUGAAUGAUUUCCUGACCAAGAAGAACAUUCUCUAUGAUCAGCCUAUCCUCUACAAAACCAGUUUAAUUGUUGGAGAUAAGCUUAGUCAAAAGGGGUUUAAGUUUAAGAGAGAGGACUUUGGAGAUUAUCUUGUUGGUUAAUUUAGAGAGGCUAAAUGGUCUAAAUUCAAAAAAAUGUGGUAGGGGAAUCGACUUUAGGAAUCAAGACAAGAAAAAAGUGAGAAUAUAACUUGGUGUGCUUCUUUCCAAUAAAAAUUUUUCUAAUAAAGGCAAUAAUAUCAUACUUGAUAAUAUCCCAAAAAUGUUGAAAGAAAGUACCAUUGUAACCAUCUUGGCCAGCAGUGCUAUCAGAACUUAAGAUAAAGACCGCUUCUUUGAUCUCUUCUUUACUAGAAAUUGCAGUCAGAUUGAUGUUGUCUUCUUCAGAAAUAUAAUUAGAGAUGUAGUUAAGGAGACCGUGGUUGAGAGUAGGCAUUGGAAGAUUGAAGAAAGACAAAAAAUGAUGCACAACAGCCUUGGCAAUGUUCUUCCCUUUCUUAAUCUAUUUCCCUCUAUGGUACUUAAUCAUGUUCAACUGUUGUUUACUUCUCCUUUCCCUGAGAAGACUAUGGAAGUACCUGGUAUUGCUCUUCGUCAAACCAUCUAGUCUAAGUUUUCUGUUUAAGGAGAGAUUCAUGCAUACUCAACCAUUUAAUAUAUUUUGCCUGUGCUUUAUUCGAUUCUUCCCUGCUAUUAUCAAAGAUGGUUGCAGCAUCCAUAUCCUCAAAUAUUUGAACUUUUUCCUCCCAUUUUAUAACUAGAUCAUUGAUGUCCCCAAUCUGUUCUCCAGAUCACUGGCUCAAUUUCCUGCUAAGAAGCUUCAAAUUAGAUUGUAAGACCCACAUGCGAUUUGUCAAUUAUAUUGGACUAGCAGACUUCUUUAACGAUGUGUAGGAGGCCCUCUUCAUUAGCCUAGAAAUGAAGAAACUUGAAGUAACUGAUGUGACAUUGGUUAGUGUUAAAGCACUUCAUGAGUAAAGGCCUAUGAUCAGAUUAGUUCUCGCCAAUACGAUCAUACCACAAGUUUUGAUACCCUCCAAUGUGAACCCCCGUUUCUAGCCAAAUAUACAUCCUGAAGAUCUCCAAUUACUAUAUGUAAAUCUUGAAUCCUUCAAAACCAUUCUCGGGAGUCAUCCACUCUACUCAGGUUUCAAUUAGUCUGAUCAAAUGAACCGAACGACAUGUGCCCCAUUAGAACAGCAAUACCUAUGGAAAUAACCCAUCCUUCUAAGCAGCCGAGUGCUAUCCUACUCUAUACCUGUUACAUUCCUUACUACAACAACUAAUCCAUCCAACGUUUCUCAUAUACUCAUAAAGAAUAACACAACCCUUAUCCAAAAAAUUUCUUUACUCAAGUCAUCCUCGAUCUCAACCUCUGUAAGCCACAAUUGAUUCGUCGGCAUAACACAAAUUGAAACUAAUACGACAAUUAGCCGUGCAAUAAACUUAUCAAUAGCAAACUCCCCCACUUGGCUCAAAGCCAUAAGUCAAAAUACAUAAAAACUCGCAAUGCCCAUACUCUAUUACCGCCAUAAUACUAUAGGGGAAUAAAACUAAAUCCUCCAUAAGCUCGUGCAACACAAUCAUCUAGUACUUCAAAUCAUCUGCAAUCUCGCAUUCACCUUCGUAACAGUCAUGCCCACUCUCAUAAGUGAUACAAACUCAAAUUGCAACACACAUAUUCCACUAGUAAAAGAGGGCUCCCAACAAACAACAUAGGGAUCACACAAACCUCAGAACACCCCGCAGGAGAUAACUCACCUGUUUUGCCUCAAACUAACAUCUCUUCAUACCUUUCCACCAUCAUAAACAUCAUGCAAUCACUUAAUCUUCCUAAGUCUGAACUCAUAUCACAACAUAAAAUCUACUUCACUCCUCAACUAGACAACAUGAAAAGAUCCUUCAACACACCAACAACUCGAGGCUAUAUAUCAAAUCACGAUGGAAAUCAAACACCAGAUAGUUCUUUCUACCCUCAAGCAGACCCUUCUCGACACAUUUAAAUCGUAUGAACACAUCUCGCAGUCACAACAUACUCAUCACGUAGCCAUCUAAUCAUCACUUCCACUAAUAGGGAUACUAUUAAACAUAUAAAUCCAAAAGCACGUGCUCACACAACCAACACCUCAGUGCUCAGCUACAGGAAAAGCCCGGCCUCAAGUCCUCCAGACUGGCCCAACAUCAACACAUAGAAAUCACAUCUCGCCCCUCGUUCAUGGAAGCACAAGUCGUCGAUGCACAGCUGACCAAACGCACAUAUGCGCACACGAAUGUGUGGAAGAAUUCAAAGAGUUACAUUUCAAGCUGAAUCAACGUCGCACGAUUAGAAUUCAAGAAUGUGGGAUUUCCUAAAGGUUCUGCAGCCUCUCGAAGAUAAGUACAGACGUCUCCGUACCGAUCCGCAAGACUCUACUAAACCUGCUCAUGACUCGUGAGACCUAUGUAACCUAGGCUCUGAUACCAACUUGUCACGACCAAAAACUCAUCACGUCGUGAUGGCGCCUAUCGUGGAACUAGGCUAGUCUCAACUCAACGCAACCCAAAACCACAAUACUAAAACCAAAUCAUUUGCAAAAAAACUUUUAUCAUUUAAAAUAAAUUGAUUAAGACAUAAAAUAAAGAUUCAUAUUACAAUACAACCAUCCCAAAACUAGGGUGUCAUGGAGUACAUGAGCGUCUAAGGUGAAUACAUAAUCUAUUAAAGUGUCUAAAGAGGCAAUUGUAAUACAAUUGGAAAAUGAGAAGGAGAGCCAAAGCCUGCGAACGCCAUGUAGAUACCUCAACAAACUCCACAGCCUGCAACCUCAAUCAACGACUGCCACUGGGUCCAAAAGUACCUGGAUCUGCACACAAGGUGUAGGGGGUAACGUGAGUACACCAUCUCAGUAAGUAACAAGUCCAACCUUUGGACUGAUAGGUAGUGACGAACUCACCCUCAUCAAAGAUAAUAGAAAUAACGUAUAGAAACAUAGGCAUGCUUUCAGUUAAAUAAACAGCUCGAAUAGUAAAACAAAGCAAGUAUGAACAGAGUAAAAAAGUGUAACUCUACUACAUCUACAUAGCGAUACACAUGCUAUAUGAAAUGCACCAUGCUGAGUGACUCAUGUGCCCACAAUCUCAAUUACUCGUCCACUCAGUGUUGUAUAUGGCUCAUACGGCCCAGGGAAGAUCCAUCCCGGAAUAUAUACAUCUCUGACAGCAGUCACUCAGUACUGAGGAAGGCCAGCCUAUGGAAAAGAUCCAUCUCCAAAUAAUAAUAAACAACCUCACAACCACUCGUUACUGUAUAUAGCUCACAAGGACCAGGGAAGAUCCAUCUCGGCAUAUAUACAUCUCACAGACCAAUAGUCUCCAGUACCAAGGAACAACCCAAUCCAUCCUCAUAGAGAAGAUCCAUCUCCAUACCAAGGGAAGAUCCAUCCCUGACUAUAAUCAAUUGCGCUCACUGGUGGUGUAUAGACUCCGGAGGGGCUCCUUUCGGCCCAAGCGGUAUAACAAGCCAACGAAGGCAUAAUUAAUAAUCUGCUGCGAUGUGCAGCCCGAUCCCAUAACUAUCACUCAUAAUCAAGUUCUCUGCCUCACUCAGUCAUCACUCUCUAAUCUCACACACACGGCUCACUAUACCAUGAAACUAGCCGAAACAAUGAUAUGAUGUGCCAAAUAACAACAGAGACUGAGAUAUGAUAUGAUAUACAUGAACAAUACAGAGUACAGAAUAUCAAUGAAACAAAUGAGAUGACAAUAAGAAAUGACCACUCGGGUCUCAACAUCAUUGGCAUGAAGCCCUAACAUGAUAAUUAGCAUGAUUUACAGUUCAUUUCCUUAAUCAUAUAAUCACAACACAGAUAUCAAUAAGAAAGAGUCACUAAGUGGUAUCGUGGAAUGAUAUAUGCCACAAUUCUUACGAUGCACGCCCACUCACCCAUCACUUGGCACUUGCGUCACCUUAAUACAAAUCAUAUAGCACAAUGUUCGGGGUUUCAAACUCUCAGAACCAAGUUUGGAAGCGUUACUUACCUCAAACCAAGCCAAAACUAUAACUUGCGAUGCCCUUGCCUCUCGAUUUGGCCUCCAAAUGCUCCGAAUUUAACGAAAAUUAGUAUAUUACCAUCAAUAUACGCUAAAGGAAUAAAACCCAUAUGAAAAUUAUCAAAUUAGAUAAAAAAAAGAAAUCCCAAAUUUGCUAAAACCCGACCCCCGGGCCAACGUCUCGGAAUCCGAAAAAAUCACAAAACUAGAAAGCUCAUUCAUUCACGGGUUUACCCACAUCAAAUUCAUCAAAAUCCGACAUCAAACGACCAUUCAAAUCCCCAAAAUCAACUCUCCAAAUUUUCUUCCAUUUUCCCCAAUUUUCACCCCAAAUUCCCAAUUUAGAGGAUAAAGAUUAAUACACAAUCAUGGAAUUUAACUAAAUUUGAGUAAACAACACUUAUCCCAAUCACUUCUAUGAAAAUUCCCUCCAAAAUCCCUUCUCCCGAGCUCUCUAUUGAAUUUUGGAAUUAUGAACCCAAACCCUCAUUUUUGAACUUAAACAUUCUGCCCAGACAUUUCCUUAAUCGCGAUCGCGGAAACACCCUUGUGAUCGCGAAGAACAACUUCGCUAGCUCCUGGCUUAACCCUAUGCGAAUGCGUUAAUCUCCAUGUGAAUGCAAUAUUCUGUCACUCUCUUAUACGCGAUCACGGGCCAAUGAUCUCACUCGCGAUGAACAAAUGACUGGCCCCAGCUUUGUCCCACUUAACCUUACAUGAACGCGACUCUUCCCACUAGAACGCGAUGCACCACAUGAUCAACCUACGUGAUCACAUCUCUAACUCCGCGAACAUGAUGAACAACUUGAUUGGUCUCCAAAAAUACUCUAUGCGAUCGCGAGCCUCCUCACGCGAUCGCGACGAAAGACCUUCUACAACAGAAAUACCAGCAAAAUCUGCCAAUCUUUCAAGUCCAAAAAUGCCCGGUUGGCCAUUCGAAACACACUCGAGGCCCUCGGGACCUUACCCAAACAUGCCAACUCAUCCUAUAACAUCAUUCAAACUUAGUCGAGCCUUCGAAUCACUCAAAGCAACGCCAAAAUACCAAAUCCACCUCGGAUUCAAGCCUAAGAACUUGUAAACUUUCAAAUUCCACAAACAAUGCCGAAACCUAUCAAAUCACCUCCGAAUGACCUGAAAUUUUGCACAUAUAUUACAAAUGACACUACGGACCUACUCCAAUUUUCAGAAUUCCAUUCCAACCCCGAUAUCAAAAUUCCCACUACAGACUGAGAAACGCCAAAUUUCCAAUUUCAUUGAUUCAAGCCUAACUCUACCACAGACCUCCAAAUCACAUUCCGUAUGAGCCCUCAAGUACAAAAUAACCUAAUGGAGCUAACCAAAUCAUAAAAAUCCAAAUCCGAGAUUGAAUACUAAAAAGUCGAAACUUGGCCAAACCUUUUAAAUUUAAAGCUUCAAGCUAAAAAUCAUUCUUCCAUAUCUAUUCUGAUUAACCUAAAAACCAAAACCGACGAUUUACAUAAGACAUAAUAUAUCAUACGGGGAUAGUCAUGCCUGAGAACUGGCGAGCAAAGCAUAAAUGCUCAAAACGACCGGUCGGAUCGUUAUAGGAGGCCAUAACUAUAUCGCCAUCAUCAUUCCUUAAAAUCCCUCCCAUUCAAGCCAUGUUAUUCGCCUUUAGGAAUCUACCAUUAGUAUUUAGCUUGAAAGUUCCUAUUCCAAGUUUGUUCCAAAGAACUAUUGUGAUCCUUGGGAUAGGAUGUAGCUUCAUUAGGUUGUCACAAAGAUUAUUCCAUGGGAGAGAGAGCUUGCAGAUCGGAAAGGCUUUGAAUAUAGCUGAUCCAACUAUCCAACAAACUUGUUGGCCCAUUUUGAUUAAGUUUAACUUCUUUUGAUUGUCAUAUUUACAUGAGCAUCUUUCUUUCCAAAUAGUCCAGCAGAUGAUAGUUGGACUGAUUUGUAGCACAAGUUUAAGUACAUCAUUCAAGGCAUUUACUUGCCACCAGCUAUUAAUGGUAAAUCUAACUAACCUCUGCUGAUGCGUUAUGCCCAAUAGGGAACCUAUUAGUUUCCAAAUAUAGCUAGUUGCCUCUCCUUCUUUCACCUUUGGGAGUAGUUUAUAUCCUCUGACAAGUUCCAAAAAAUUUGUCUAGAAUUGUCCUCUUCUCAAUAUGAAUUCCAAUAAUAUGAUGAACCAAAGAUUCUGGUAGUAUGCUCUUUAGUUUGUGAAUAUUCCACUCCCCAUUUUGUAUGUAAUUAUUCACUAGAAUCUUAGGGCUUUUGUUAGUCAUGGGGACUAGAGCUGCUAGGGGACCUUUAUUAGCCCAGUUAUCCUACCAGAAGCUACAAUCACCUCAAUUAACAUGUCGUAGCAUCUGAUUUUCAGCAUUCUUUCUAACCUUGGUCAUAUGUUUCCAGGAAUGUGAGCUCCUAGAAGCCCAUUGUUUAGCAAUCGAGUGAGCUCUAAUGCAAUACUUGUGUUUGAUGAAGUUGGCUCAUAGAGAAGAAAUGGCUCUAAAUCUCCACCAUCUUUUGGUGGCUAAUACUUCACUGAUAUCUUUCAUUCUUAUGCCUAUUCCUCCUUCAUCUGUAGGAAAUUAAAGAUUUUUCCAAGACCUCCAGUGGUACUUCCUUUGAUCCCUACUACUAUCCUAGAAAAAAUUGGCAAAAUAUUUUUCAAUAAGAUGAAAGGUAGAUUUAGGAGGGACAUAAAAGAGAGAGUGUAUGUAGGCAGAGAUUGUAGAACAUUCUUGAUUAACACCAUUCUGCCUCCAGGAGAAAACAUAUUAUCCUACCAACCAUUGAGUCUUUUUAUUACCUUGUGAACCAUAUUAUCAAAGUAAGAAAUUUUCUUUCAACCAUAAGCAAUUUUCUUUCAACCAACAUAUAGAGAGCAUCCAAGGUAAGUAAUAGGGAAGACCUUGUCAAGAAAGCCUGUGCAUUGUCUCGUCCCAUUGAUCCUGGAGGCACAGGUCUUAGGGGCUAUUAAGAAGAAGCUCUUAUCCCUAUUGACAAGCUGACCAUAGCACUCCUCAUAAUCCCUUAUCACCUUCAUAAUCAUAUUAAUUGAAAUGCUACUUCCACUGCUAAAGAUAACAACACCAUCAACAUAAGCUAGAUGAUUAAUAAUAGGACCUUUAAAGGCAUGAAGAAAGGAAUCAAGUUGUUGUUCCGGUUGAGAUUAUUCAGGGAUCUAGAUAAAAUUUCAACAGCAAGAAUAAGAAAGGAAGGGAAAAGAGGAGCCCCUUGUUUUAAGCUUUGAGAAGAAGUGAAGAAGCCAUUUCUAGAGCCAUUAAUAAUUAUAGAGUACCAAACACCAAAAAUAAGGUUUUGGGCUAACUCUAUCCAUAGUUCGGAGAAGCCAUAUCUCCUAAGAACUGAUGUGAUAAAUAAUAAAGAUAUUCUAUCAUACGCUUUGGCCAUGUUCAGCUUAAUAACAAUGUAACCGCCUCGAUUAUUCUGGGAAAUACUUUGAAAGAUUUCCUGAUCAAGAAGAAUAUUCUCUGUAAUCAACCUAUCCUCCACAAAAUCAGUUUUAUUGUUGGAGAUAAGCUUAGUCAUAAGGGGUUUAAGUUUAAGAGAGAUGACUUUGGAAAUUAUCUUGUUGGUUAAUUUAGAGGGGCUAAUAGGUCUAAAUUCAAAAAAAAGUGGUAGAGGCAUCAACUUUAGGAAUCAAGACAAGACAAAAGUGAGAAUAGAACUUGGUGAGCUUCUUUUCAAUGAAAAAAUUCUCUAACAAAGGCAAUAUCAUACUUGAUAAUAUCCCAACAAUGUUGAAAGAAAGUACCAUUGUAUCCGUUUGGGCCAGCAGUGCUAUCAGAACUUAAGUUAAAGACUGCUCUUUUGAUCUCUUCUUCACUACGAAUUGCAGUCAGAUUGAUGUUGUCUUCUUUAGAAAUUUAAUUAUAGAUGUAGUUAAGGAUACCGGGGUUGAGAGUUGGCUUUGGAAUAUUGAAGAAAGACUCAAAAUGAUGCACAAUAGCCUUGCCAAUGUUCUUGUCUUUCUUAAUCUAUUUUCCCCUAUGGUACUUAAUCAUGUUCAACUGUUGUUUCCUUCCCCUUUCCCUGAGAAGACUAUGGAAGUACCUGGUAUUUCUCUUCGUCAAACCAUUUAUUCUGAAUUUUUUAUUUAAGGAGAGAUUCAUCCAUACUCAACCAUUUAAUAUAUUUUCCCUGCUAUUAUCAAAGAUGGUAGCAGCAUCCAUAUCCUCAAAUAUUUGAAAUUUGUCCUCCCAUUUUAUAACCAGAUCAUUGAUGUCCCCAAUCUGUUCUCUAGACCACAGGCUCAAUUUCCUGCUAAGAAGCUUCAAUUUAGAUUGUAAGAUCCACAUAUGAUUUGUCAAUUAUAUUGGACUACCAGACUUCUUUAACGAUGUUUAGGAGGCCCUCUUCAUUAGCCCAGAAAUUAAAAAACUUAAAGUAACUGAUGUGGCUUUGGUUAGUGUUAAAGCACUUCAUGAGUAAAAACCUAUUAUCAGAGUUAGUUCUCGUCAAGUGUCUCACAAUAGUGAUCUGGAACUUCUGAGCCCACAUGUCAUUAAUAAAUUUCCUGUCAAAUAUUUUCUAAAUUCUCUUGCUAGGCCUUCUAUUAUUACACCUUGUAAACCAAAAACUAGAAAAACCAACAUCAGUCACCCCACAAUUGUCCAUACAAUUAAUAAAAUCCAAGCGUCUAUGAACCCUAUGAGGCCUUCCUCCUAGCUUUUCAUCUAGAUCGAUAAUGAUACUAAAGUCUCCUCCAAUACAUGAAGGACUAUCAAUGCUAAGAUUGUCUUGUUCAAGGUUGUCCCAAAGUCCUUUUCUUUUAGUUGAAGUGCAUUUUGCAUAAACUGUUGAAAUAUAAGAACUAUGGUUGUUAAUACCAUCUUUAAACUUCAUGGUAAUAUGUUUCUCAUCCUCAGCUAUCAAUACAGAGUGACAGUUGAUGUUAUAGAAGCACCAAAUUUGACCAUUGCAGUUGGAGAUACAAUGUUGAAAUCCAAGAAACUUCUUUUAACCAUCAAGCUUUUAGUUAUUCACAAAAGGCUCAAAGAUGGCCACAAAUUAUAUCUUGUUUAUGUUGAUCAAGUGUUUAAGCCUAUGAAUAAAUUUCUUUGAUCUCACCACUCUAAUGUUCCAAAAAAUUAUACUAAUCAUUAGAAUUUGUUGGGGGUAGAUCCUCUUGUUGUUUCCUUUUCUGUAAAGAAGCAUCUUUCUUCAUGUGCCUUUUUUUCCUAGUUUGGGUUCUUACUCUUUCCUCGGUGAUACAUGUUUGAUAUUUGUUAUUCAACUUGUUUUGGAGACUUCUGUUAAUCUCCUGAGUAUUUAAUUUGGUUUCCUUGUGGCAAUUAGAAGUUGUCUAUCUAGGAAGAUCAUUAGUAGCCUCAUCGAUGUUCUCUGUCGGAUGAAUACAUUUGGGAAUAUUCAGUUCAACAACCAAAUUCACUCCCGGUUGAUUAAUAAUAUCUUAUGGUAAAGUGGAUGAACUAGAGCUAUCAUUAACCGUAUUAGAACCCAGAAUUGCUAGCUGAUGUUCUUGAUCAACCCUUGUGUUGGUGUGAAUCUCCCCUUGCUUACCUUUAUCAUGCCUUCUAUCUUCUUUAGAAAUGUUUGGAGCUUCUACCAUAUUUGUAAUAAGAUUAUUAUCCAUAAUAAUUGUUUGUACCCGGUGUUGGUGACUUUAUUUUCCUUGAUCACCCUGACUUUGGAUACUCUCUUUGAUUUCUGAUAGGGAUUGGUCACUUUGAAUAGAAUUAAUGGCUUUUGCUAUCCUUCUUUUGCUAUUUCCUGUAGUUGUAUUGGUUUGAAUAUCACUUUGCUUCUUUUUUGGCAUUUUAUUAACUUUCUUCUCUUUUUUUCUUCCUCCUGCAUAGUCUAUCUGUACGUUCAGCUGAAAAUAUAGUCACAUUGUUAGUGUUAAGUUGUGCUAUCUCUGUUCUUUGUUGGUUCAUAUGAUGCUUCUUCUUAUUAGCUUCAACUUUACCAUUUGUACUCCCCUUUUAUAAUAGAACUGGUUGCCUCAAUUUUUUCCUCAAUAAUAUUUUUUAGAUGAUUUAGCAACUUCUUUAUUGGUAGGCACCUCUCCUUUCUUAACAUUAAUAUUAACAUUCUACUAUGCCACACCCUUAACAACUUCUGUAGCAUUCUGCUUUGCCAUAUCCUUCUUUUGGCCUCUAUUUCCUUCAUUGUUCUCUUCCUGAUUUUUACUACUUCUUUCUUCUAUUUGCAAUAGAAUCAUAUUUUCAGCAUUCAUUUUGCCUUCAUUGACUUCUACAGUUCUUAUUUUCUCAAGAACUCUAUAAUUUAUCAUAUUGUGCCCCAUUCUUUUACAAUGCUUGCAGUACUUAGGAAUAUUUUCUUAUUCAAUUUUUUGCCUAUACCCUCUCAGAGGUGAAUUCUCAUCCUUAAAGCCCACCCAUACACUACUAGGCUAGGGUUUCGUUAGGUCUAUUUUAGUAGCAGCAUCCAAGGCUAAAGGAGUGCCAAUAUUACUAACAAUUUGCCUAACAUAAUGUCAUGUAUGCAUAUUGAAUGAUAUACAUGGAAGAAGUACCCAUGCCGGAACAAUUGGAAUGUCUUCAUCCAGCUUCAAAUCCGGUGACCAUUUUUGUAGCCACAUUUGUAAUCCUUCAAUUUUGAUCAUCCUCCUAUACCAUGCAUAGUUGAAGUCAUCUUCAUUGGUGAAGUCUAUUAAAACAUUGUAGUUGUCAUAGACUCCAAUCUUAGCAGACCUUUAAUUGAAAAAAGCUCUCUAAAACUGGAUCUUAUCCUUUCGAUUUAAGGAUAGGGCUUCAGAAACCUACCAAUAAUAGUUAAUUUGCAUUCUUCAGCCAUGAUUCUGUAAUAGUAUUUAGCUUUAAAAUUCACCAACGGCAUCUUAUUGUGAGUAGUUUGUCGAGCAAUCACUGAUUCUCGAGGGUGUCGAACGGUGGUCGUUGGAGUAACUGUUGCGGUAGAUACUGUGGUGGCAUAAGUUAAUUUCCUGCAAUUGCUUCAGUAGGUGGAGUCGUCAUAUUUGGAGGUUCAUAUUGGCUGUCAGUACGCUCCCUUUGGACACCGUUUGACGGCGCCAUGAGGCGGAGCGUAGGGUUGACGCGUCUAAUAUGUUAUCGUUAAGGGCCAACGCUAGUAAUAUUAUGGAGAGAGUCUUUUGCAAAGUCAGACCUGGUAUUAUACAUAUUGAUGAACGGUGAUGUUUGGUUGAUGGUUUAGUUAUACAAGAAUAAUAAUAAUAUAUCACGACCCAAACCGAUGGGCCGCGACAGGCACCCGGUACCUUACUCAACCGAGUACCUACAUAACGUAUAUUUUGUGUCAUACUAUCAUAGGUAAAUGAUCCAGAGAGGCUGUCGUGAGAUAAGUAAAAAACAUGGGAAAAAUACUCGACAUUGGAUGACCCAACAUGUAAUCCAAACUCAUACAUAUGACGUACGGGCCUAUAAGGCCGCCACGAUUCCUUAUAUACUCAAAACAUAGGUCGACAAGGCCAUAAAAGUAUCUGUAUACAUGACAUCUGUCUACAAGCCGCUAGGAAUACAUAAUAUCAUAAAGUGCGGGAUAGGGCCCCGCCGUACCAAUCAAUACAUGUACUAAUCAUACUGACCAAAUAGGCAACUCCAGAGCAAAUGGAGUGCACCAACACCUUUUGCUGAGCUGAUAGUUUACUUGAAGGGCUCAUAACCUGUCUAUCAGGACCUGCGAGCAUGAAGCGCAGCAUCUCCAGACAAAAGGGAUAUCAGUACAAAUAAUGUACCGAGUAUGUAAAGAAUGAAAAUCACUAAAUAAUAAACAUGAAAGAAAUAUGGAGUAAAAGACUCGACAUGUAAGUCUGAAAAACUUUGUAAAUCAUGAAAUACUUAUAGUGUCAUGCAUAUGCGUAUGAAUCUCAUGUAGUACAUAGGUACAUGUAUUCAUAACAUCAUCAAGUCUCUGAGGGCAUCCUAUCACAUCAUCUCAGCCACUAUGGGCAAAAUCAUCAACGUAUACCAGCUGAUCAAGUGGUGGUGCGUAUAUAACGCCGUAACCUUUUUCCAUAUCCCAUAUACAUAUAUACGUGUAUAUAACGUCAUCUGGUCAUGGGUCAAUGUAUAUGUAUAAAUAAAUGCAAUGCAUGAAAAGUACGUCAAUAAAAUCUUUCAGAAUGUCAUAAGACUAUUAUGCCUUUGAGUAAUAUCAUGAAGUAAACUUUUUCAAUUUAUGUAUUUUUCUGAGACCCAUGAACAGAUAAUAAAAUAAUAGUACACAUGGGAAUUCAAGAACAUAGGCACCUCUAAUACUUCUAUGAAUAGAGUCAUUUAUGAAAGUUGUGCAUUUUUUCGUUUCGUUUGUGUUGUAUAGAUCAUGCCAAAAGGAAAGAAGGGAUAACCUUAACAUGCCUGAACGAAUACUAUAUACUAGAUAAGAUUCAAUAAUGUGGCAAAUCUAAGGAUGCUACUCUUUUAGCAGAAAAAACAAGUCCGAGCAAUUCUCAUAGGUAUGAGCUACAGUACAUAAAUGAUGGUUAUAUGGGAUACAUGUUGAUGGACUGCCCAUUGCAAUGCCUCAGGGUAUAUGAUAUAUGAUGCGUGUGCAGUAUUUGGACUUGCUACAGUAGCUUACUGGUUUUAGGCCAUAGGAUGAGACUGUCAAUUCAGGGGCCAGUCGCACGAGUUUGACAGCUUAAUAACAUUUGGAGAUAUUGCACCCUGACAUCACCGGCGAGACAGAUGAUCUACAUAUUCACCGGUAUACGAGGUUGGUGCUGCUCCUUAUUUUUGGGGGGUCUUGUUCCCGAACACUUCGGGAAAUCUAUGAGUUUGCGAUUUCUACAUCAUUUCCAGUUGCUAGAUAAUUUACCCAAGUACAGUUGGGGUGCUCAGUUCUCGCUUAAAUAAGUGGAAGAUGAAAUCAAAAUAGAGGAUAUCAUUUAGGAUAUGCAUGACUCUAAUCUCCUCAAUCGAAGGACAUGAAGUGAAUUGGAUGAAUUUUAAGAUCAAGCUGAAGUUGAGUAAGUCUAAGAUUCAAAAUAAGAUUCUUCAAGAAUAGACAAAUUAAUAAUUAAAUAGAACAAGGAUGUUACCGAAACUAAAGAACUUACAACAUCUGGAUCACUAAUCAAUGCAUUCCAAUCCGUUGGUUUAAUGUAUUUGCCAAAUCUUACCUUUCUAAUCUUGCCACAUAACAUGAUAACUUAAGAGUUACAAUUCUUUGGGGUACCUUGUUGCCACAUGGGGGUGGGGGGUCUUAUCUUACCCAAUUCAUUAAUUAUCCACAUUUUAAUUAAUCUCCCACUAAAAAUCAUUAAUUACCCAAUUAUCCACAUAAUUAAGAAUUAUCUCAAAUUACUUAAAAUACUACUCACUUUUAACACACUUUAUAUACCUUACUAUCAUGGUCAUGUGGUACCUUGUAUGAUACUAGUUUAUGAAUAAGGGGUAUUAUAGCUUGGACCAUAUUUUAUCCCCAAAUUGCCAAACUUCAGCGGAACUCAUUUUCUUCAGUUCGUUUACCCUCUCAUCUUCACGAAUUAACUUAUCACUUAUUUGAAAUAGCGUAAUACUUAUAAUCCCAAAAUAAAUCUCAUUCCCGAACACACGUCGAUUAACUUACGACGAAAUCUUAACGUACGAAAAUCCGAAAUUUAACAUCUCAUUUCUGACCUUAUAUCAAUUUACUUAUGGUGUACUUCCAUGUACGAAAACAUGGGGUGUAACAUCAUUCCCCCCUUUGGAACAUUCGUCCUCGAAUGUUGUCUGAUGCACUUAUCACUCUCAUGACUCAUAGCUCUUGCAAAUACUUUAAUACUCUUCUUGCCAUUUAGGGAACUGUUCUAUAAUAAAUCCAAAGGCCAAGGCAUUUCCCCUUUUAGGUCUCUUUCUCACACUAUGACUUUUGGUCGGAAUUCUUUCAAUCUCGUUACUGUUGCUACCUUCGGUUAUGCAGCCUGUACGACUUUUUCCUUGUAUGUGCGCCAAUCUCUAGGCCUCUCUUUGGGAAUAUAUACAGAGCUUGAUAACAUGUCCCUAUGGGCAUCUGUAGGUAUACUGAAGUUCUUCGCUCGGUACUUUGUCGAACUUACGAAUAUUGUUGUACCUUAUUUCAAAGAUCCACUUAUCUAUUCGUAUGACUUUACUUCAUCUAGGUAGGUCAUACUAUACCAUAACUCUUACUUCGAUUUAUCGUUACUGAGCUAUGCUACCGAACUCCAGGUUACUUUCGUUGCUUAUCCCAUACAUAUAAAUCUAAGUCCUUUAAUGCUUCCUCAUUACUUGUUCAUCUUAAGAAUGACGGUCUAAUAUCACCUCAUACUUUGUGACUUUAGUCCAUCCAUUGUUGAUACACAUUAAUGUUGAUCUAUCAUCUACCACUGAUAACUUGAUCUCUUAUGUAACGCUGCUGCUAGGGCUUACAUCUCAUCAGGGACAUCUGGAGUAAUUAUAUUGAUCCACCUAUGAGCGAUACUAUACUUCCAUAACCAUAUUUUAUAGAAUCCCAAUAUGACUCACCUUACAUGGGUAUUUUAAUCUUGUACAAUUCAUUAAGUCCUCUUCAAGUCAUUACUCAAUUGAAGGCCCAAAUGUCAUCCUUUAUCUAUCACAAUCACACCAUCAUUCCACUCUAGAUGCUAUUAGUUUUUGAUUCCUUUGAGUUCAUUCGGGCUAUAUUGAACUUUCUAUAACUUAGAGAAACCAUUAGCCCUCUUGUUUUCAUGGGCUUAAUCUCGAGGAUUUAUCCAUUCUCGUCACCUUCUUACUUGCCUUUUCUCAUCCUUACUCCUGUCAUAAAACCUUGCCGUUUUACUAUACUUUAUCUUGCAACCUCUACGUAUCUAUUUAUACUAUUCGCAACCUUCCUUCAACUUUCUUGCACCAUAGAUUCCCUUAUGUUAUUCUAGAACAUCAAGCGAGACAUCACAUUGUCUCUAACUCUUCUUUACUCUCUUGGUACCUAGAAACUAUAGGCUGGAAGAUAUGCCACUAACGAUGCCGUUACCGUUCCUGGAUAUUGAAUCCCCCUGCUUCUAGCCUUUUAUUCGAAGUAUAGACUAUUCUCAACCUUCUGCUUUUGAGUAUCUCGUAUGUUGUUCACCUUUACCUUACUUACCUUAAAGUCUCACAUCACAUCUUCUAUCUCUUUCAUGACCUCCCCACGACAUAGGUAUAAUUCACAUCCACGUCUUAAACUUCUAUUAUAAUACAUGCACCUCUUUACAGAAUCUCGUGAGAUCUUUAUACUAUCUUCUUAUGAGGUUGGGACACUUUUAAUUGGCUUUAUCGUAGAGUCGUUAUAGAAUAUGGCUACUGUACUAUCUCUCUUGUACCUCUGAUAUUAAGAGCGGUUCUACAAUGUUCUCAAUCAUGAUGUCUAUAACUUCCUGGGUCCAAUAAGUAGAAUCCUAAUUUACUUAGUUGAUGUAAAUCUUUAGUUUCCUCUUCCUUCUGAUCAGCCUUUACGUAGGCUUAAGCUAUCUUCCGAUCUGCGGCUCAUAGCAUUUAGUUAUUACUUUAGCCUUUCAUGGACGCUAUGGAAAACCAUGAUACAAUCUUCUAAUGAUUCAAUCCUUUGUCUAGGACCUGGACCCAGUUCCUUCUUUUAACUUAUACCGGAGUCUUCUUGGCUGAUCAUUAAUUAAAUAAAUCUUUCAUUCUAUUUCAGCUUUCUUCAAACGUAAGCAAUUACUUUUCCUGGUCUUUUUGCCCCUUAUUGCGUGCUUAUUUAGCUUAUCUGAGUUCUCACGCAUGCCAAAAAUUUUGUGCAUAUCAUAUGGUCUCGAAUAUUUACUUUUGGUUUUGAUCCCCGCUCAUUAGCCAUGGUAGGUGCCACUUUCUUUUUGAGUGCAUACAAUUUUGUAGUGAGACGGUUGUUACACAACCAUUUCCUCUUUAGGUCAUUGUGCUUUGGUUGAAGCCUUCUUCCUUAUUUUCUCAACUAGUUUUUCAUUGUAGUACUUAGGGGGGAUCCUCUGACUCUUGUAAGGUUGUGAGCUUAUCAUAUCGUAUGCCUUACAAAAUUUUUGACGUUCUUCCUCGCCUAUAAUUACCCAUAGUUACUUGUCUCCACGCCCUUGUGCUUGUAGGGUUGCUUAUGAACUAAUAUUUUGACUGACUUCCUAGUGGUACUCUCUUUUAUUUCCGUAACACUCAUGCGGUAUCUUUAUCUACCUAACUCCUAUCCGAAUAUUUCUCAAGGAUCACGAUGUCAUAACUGCGAGGUUGAAUUCCCCAUAUUGGGGUUCCCUAUGUUUAUCUUGCACGAUCUAUUCAUUUGUCUGUAUCCUCUAUUCGAGCCAUAGCUAGGUUGUUUCUAAAUCAACUACUAACUACUUGUUGGCCCAUUCCCGUAUCAAUAUUCCACAUAAUCUUUCUUAGGUUAGUUCCUUUGUCUUAACUUACCUCUCACACUGGCUCCUUAUUAAUCAAUAAUAUCUCGGACAGGAACCCUUACUUCCUCUCCUUGACGUUGUGUUUACAUAAUGCAUUGUUAUCAUAGCAUAUCUGUAGGCUUUGAAUAAGUGCAAUCUCAUCCCUUUAUUAUUUUAUCGCAUUCCUCCUUUACCAUUCCAUAAUUACUAGAACCACUUAAUCCUGACUUAAUACCACAUCACUCCAUAUUCCCCAUUUAGGGAAGUACUAAUAUUUAGCGCUACGAUGAUCUACCAAUAGAUGUUUUACCUUUUCAUCAUUGGCGUCUUCUCACAUUAUCGUUGACCCUUACUUACCUUGCGGUAAUUCUUCUGUACCAAGGAUAACGAAAUUCCUUACUCGCGAGGGUGGCACUUAGUAUAAUUGGCACACAUAGUCCCUUAAGCUUAACUUUACUCACAUUGUUUGCUUUAGGGAAGUGUCUUCCUGAAUGACCAUUCUUUGAAUUUCUCAUGAAUCUUCUUCUGUUGUCCAUUCUAUUAUUGGUGGAACAAAAUUCGAAACUUUUAUCAUGCCGACUAUUAUCCAAUCACUCAGUCCCUAAUUCACUUUUAGUUUAUCUUGUUCACCAGCCCAUACUGAUUUCUAAUAUUCUGGGGUCUAACUUUUUCUUUCGGCAGUUGCGUUGGAGUCACGAACUUAUUUCUUGAAGUGAGGAUAUGACUUUAUGGCCUAUACUCUUUUGUUGUCUCAAGGCCUGUCACCUCUCCUCUUUUCCUUCACUUGACUAUAGACUCUGUAAUACUAUCAUCUUUUUGGACCUACCGUUGUCAUCCAAGUAUCAUAUCUUACUCUUAAUGCUUCAAAUCUUCAUUAGCUCUCUUUUUAUUUCCUGCUGAUAUUUCUAUCUAUCACUUUAUUCUGAAAACUUCAACAAGAUAUUCUUUUGCUUUUAGCUCCCCUUUGCUCCAUCCACUAGCUCUUCGGGUUGCCUAGCAUUAUCUCCCUACUAGAGACAGGAGCAAUAUUAAGAUAAUAUUUAUCCUUUCCAGACUUCCAGUGCUUAUCUUUGUAGCACUCAUAUCUAGCUGUACUAUUUUAGAGUGCACCAUUUAGGUGUCUCACAAGGAGGUCUAUUAGUACCUUUGUAAUAUCCUUCAAAAAUGUCAACUAACGCAAACCAUCCAUCCAUCAUUUUGUUUUACUCUAACCCCAGCCAGAUCCUGAUAUCAUGUCCUUCUCUUAAACCAUAUCUAUCAGCUCUCAUAGGGCAUGAUUGAGAUAGGUGUGGCCAAUUGUACAUACAUUUGUUGUUGUUGUUGAAGAUAACUCAAAAUGCUUAAAUCUCUCUACCGGAAUUGUAGAUAAAAUUCAUCCUUACUAACUGGGUACCCCGUACCCUCUUUUACCUUGUUUCUUGUACUUAUUGAAACAUGUACCUUUUGAUUCUCUCGUCACUUUUUACCGCAUAGGUGGAUAGAUAUUCAUGCCUUAGGGCUUCUUAUCAAGAAGCUUACACCUUUUAAUAAACACAUAAUCUGUUGAAGAGCUCACAUUUACUCAUUAUAAGCAUGAUGCAAAAUCGAGUUCCUCUAACUCAACACUUCCACAGCUAUAUCUCUUACCAACCGUCUUUCUGAAUGUAGGCAUCAUUGUAAUACGAGUAAGCUAGAGUUUAGGAAAUUGAGUUCUUACAACUGAGCUCUACCACACGAUCUAGAGUAAGAAGAAAGAGUGACAGUCCUAAAUACCAUGUAGCCUCAUGCUUAUAAGUAUGGUCCACGACAUACCCAUAAACAAGACUCUACUAGACACGGCUUGUAGACUCCCUAGGAUAGAACUGCUCUGAUACCACUUUUGUCACGACCCAAACUGAUAGGCCGCGAUGGACACCCGGUACCUUACUCAACCGAGUACCUACGUAACGUAUCUUUUGUAUCAUACUAUCAUAGGUAAAUGAGAUAAAGAGGCUGUCGUGAGAUAAGUAGAAUAAAACAUGGGGAAAAUACUCAACAUUGGACGACCCAACAUGUAAUCCAAACUCAUACAUAUGACGUACGGGCCUAUAAGGCUAUCAUGAUCCUUUAUAUACUCAAAACAUAGGCCGACAAGACCAUACAAGUAUUUGUAUACAUGACAUCUGUCUACAAGCCUCUAGAAAUACAUAAUAUCAUAAAGGUUGGGAUAGGGCCCCGCCAUACCAAUCAAUACAUGUACUAAUCAUACUGACCAAAUAGGCAACUCCAGAGCAAAUGGAGCGCACCAACACCUUUCACUGAGUUGAUAGCUUACUUGGAGGGCUCAUAACCUGUCUAUCGGGACCUGUGGGCAUAAAACGCAGCGUCUCCAGGCAAAAGGGACGUCAGUACGAAUAAUGUACCGAGUAUGUAAAGAAUGAAAAUCGGUAAAUAAUAGACAUGAAAGAAAUAUGGAGUAAAAGACUCGACAUGUAAGUCUGAAUAACUCUGUAAAUCAUGAAAUACUUAUAGUGUCAUGCAUAUACGUAUGAAUGUCAUGUCGUACAUAGGUACAUAUGUUCAUAACAUCAUCAAGCCUCUAAUGGCAUCCCAUCAUAUCAUCUCGGCCACUGUGGGCAAAAUUAUUAACGUAUACCAGCUGCUCAGGUGGUAUUGUGUAUAUAACGAUGUAACCUUUUUCCAUAUCCUAUAUACAUAUAAUAUACAUAUAUAUGCGUAUAUAAUGUCAUCUGGUCAUGGGUCAAUGUAUAUGUAUAAAUGAAUGCAAUGCAUGAAAAGUACGUCAAUAAAAUCUUUCAGAAUGUCAUAAGACUGUUAUGCCUUUAAGUAAUAUCAUGAAGUAAACUUUUUCAGCUUACGUAUUUUUUUGAAACCUAUGAACAGAUGAUAAAAUAAUAGUACACAUGGGAAUUCAAGAACAUAGGCAACUCUAAUACUUCUAUGAAUAGAAUCAUUUAUGAAAGUUGUGAAUUUUCUCGUUUCGUUUGUAUCGCAUAGAUCAUGCCAAAAGGAAAAAAAAAAAGGUUGUCUUAACAUACCUGAACGAAUACUAUAUAUUGAAUGAGAUUCAAUAAUGUGGGUAAGGAUACUAUUCUGUUGGUAAAAAAAACAAGUCCGAGCAAUUCUCACAGGUAUGAGCUACAAUACAUAAAUGAUGGUUCAAAUAAGUGGAAGAUGAAAUCAAAAUAGAGGAUAUCAUUUAGGAUAUGCAUGACUCUAAUCUCCUCAACCGAAGGAUAUGAAGUGAAACGGAUGCAUUUUAAGAUCAGGCUAAAGUUGAGUACGUCUAAGAUUCAAAAUAAGAUUCUUCAAGAAUAGACAAAUUAAUAAUUAAAUAGAACAAGGAUGUUACUGAAACUAAAGAACUUACAACAUCUGGAUCACUAAUCAAUGCAUUCCAAUCCUUUGGUUUAAUGUACUUGCCAAAUCUUACCUUUCUAAUCUUGCCACAUAACAUGAUAACUUAAGAGUCACAAUUCUUUGGGGUGGCUUGUUGCCGCGUGGGGAGGGUCCUAUCUACUCAAUUCUUUAAUUACCCACAUUUUAAUUAAUCUCCCACUAAAAAUUAUUAAUUAUCAAAUUAUUCAUAUAAUUAAGAAUUAUCUCAAAUUACUUAAAAUACCACUCACUUUUAACACACUUUAUAUACCUUACUAUCAUGGUCAUGUGGUACAUUGUAUGGCACUAGCCCAUGAAUACGGGGUAUUAUAGCUUGGACAGUUUUAUCCCCAAAUUGCCAAACUUCGACAGAACUCAUUUUCUUCGAUUCGCUUACCCUCUCACCUUCGUGAAUUAACUUAUCAAUUGUUUGAAAUAGCGUAAUACUUAUAAUCCCAAAAUAAAUCUCAUUCCCGAACUUACGUCGAUUAACUUACGAGGAAAUUUUAGCGUACGAAAACGCAAAAUGUAAUAUCUCAUUUCCGAGCUUCUAUCAAUUUGCUUAUGACAUACUUCCAUGUACGAAAAUAUGGGGUGUAACAUAAUAGAUUAUUAUAUGGUGAAUAAUAAUGCAAAAAUUAUUAUGUAGAGAAUAAUUACUACAUGGAUUGCUAGUGGAGAAUAAUUAAUGCACGAAUUGUUAUAAGUUGAAUAAAUAAUACUCUUAUUUAGAUGAGGUAGUUUGACUCGGCAUAGAGUUUAAGAAAAAAAAAUAAUAUUUUUGAAAUUUGUGGUAUUAAGAGCUUAAGGGGUAAAAGUUUUGUGAGACCAUGAUAUUUCUGUGGUUAUAAAAGCUUCUCAUUAAGGAUAAAAUGGGUAAAAUGAAGAGUUUAAAGUUGAAUUCUUUUCUAUUAUAGAAGCUUUCUAUCUUUAUAUGUUUUUAUUCACGUAUAGCUAAUACAAAUAUCAUUUUUACCUUUUAUCUCGUUUCAUAAAUUUGCACGUAGUCGGCAAUGAGUUCUGCCCCGUAAAGAAUACAAGCUUAGUUUUAGCGCAGAGAAAAAAUCGAGAGCAAGAUUUUGUGUAUUUAUCGAAAAAUUCUAAGAAGAUUAUCCUUAAAAAAAGUUUUUUUUUUCUUUUUGGUUCCACGAGCUGAAUCUUUGUAAAUUAUGUGUUCAGUGAGGAGGACUGAAAAAGAAAAUUUUCUCUGUUUUGUUUCUACAUUCAUUACACUGGAAAAGAAGUUUUUCUUCUUUAACAAGAGAAUCGAAUAUGAGACUCUGGCACAUCUUUUCUUCGAUUGUACACAUACUUUCAACAAGUGUGGCAGUCCUGCAACCUUUGGUGCCAUUCAGUAUUGGAAUAUAUUGGCGCCGCUCAUUCAACUAGUUAGUAACAUUUUCUUUAAAUCAGACGUUUAAUUUGUACUUGUCCUAAAUGAAACAGUCUAGUGCUUUGGAAAGUUCCUCUAAGAUCAUAUUUUUAUUAUCAAAAAUUCAUAAUCAGUAGGGCACCAACAUCUCUACCAGCAAAGGCAAGAUCAUAAUUUCCUGUGUUGUACAUUCCACUUUAAGAGUUCUAUGAGCAUAAGUGGAAUUAGUUGUGAACCAUACCUAUAUUAAAAUAGAAGGUUUCAAAGAAAGAAAUAAGGUCUAGAAUGAGAGCAACAGGCUACAGGGAAUACUUCUAAUGAUGGAAAUAUAUAAGGAUCCAUAGGAAGGAUUUCGACGGGUCUGAUGUGAGACCAAUAUUUGUGAUAGUUUAUUUACUACUACUAUUAUUGAUAUUAUAAUAAAACAGAUUAAUUACUGUUAAAAGCAGUAAGCCUAAUAUCAUAAAGUCCAUAUUUAAGUAAAAGAGCUAGUGGUAGAGAUUAUUAUGGGUAACAAAUGGAUCGUUUGGGUUGUAUUUGGACUGAUGAUUUUUAAUGGAUUAACUUAGGCUAGCCCAAGACAACCCAUUUCAAAAUCGUUCUUGCCCAAACCCAUUUAAACUUGGGCGGGUCAAAUGGGUUUGGGUUAGUUUUGUCACCUCUAGUAGAGACAUACCAUCCACAGCGGCGGAUGCCGCCUUUGUACUGCCGGGUCAACCGAACUCAUUAAUUUUGACACAUCAUUCGAACAUAAUGUAAAAAAUUUCCAAAAUUAAUAAAUACUAAACUUAAAUCCAUAAUUUUAAAAGAACAAUAAGUUACAAUGAUCAAACCUUCAAAUUUAAAUUCUGAAUUCAUCUCUAACGUAGUACGACUCAACCAUGCCCUAAUAUGGCAAACCCUCAUGUCUUUUCUCACUUAUCAUUUCUUAAUCUCAAGGUAGGCCACACCCCCUUCCCUUAAAGCUAAAAUUUAAUCAUUCUUUUCUUUUCACCUCCUCCUAAUAAGCAUCUUUUUAUUUUCUUAAUGAUUUGCUUAUUACUUUCAAAUUCAGCUUCCGAUCUAUCUCAAGCAAAUGUAACUUGUCUGGUGUCUUCCUAUGAUAUUGGUGAAUGAUUUGCGUCAUGACCCCAACAAGAUCCUCUCUUUUUCAUUAGUAUAUUUGCCUAUUAUUUUGACAGUUUAUAAAAUUUCUACGUAUUUACACAUGCAAAUAUGUCUUAAUUUCCAUACGAAUAUAUUGGAGUACGUUUCCAUUUUGACUCUCUAACUAAUCCUUCAUUAGGGACAAGUUAAUUGUUGCUGAUUAAGGAAGUUUAAUUUUCUUGACAGUUGCAAAUACAAAUUAAGUGGUUUCUGUUUUGUUUUUUCCAGAAAUGACACCUGCUUCGAAUUACACCUUUUCUUCUCACCCGUUCGUUGGCUAUAAAUACAGAGGUGUGGCCUCAGAUUUCCCAUCGAUUUUUCGAACUCUUCUGUAUAUUUCCAAAAUAAGAAAAAGAGUUUGUGUCGUGUGAUUUGUUCCUGUCCUAACAUCCAAAUUAAAGUUUGCUGGAAUUUGAAAUACUAUCGCAAUUCCAUCAAAGGUAUAUCUAUUUCUGGGAUGAAAUAAUCCAAUACCUCGAAUAUUUUGAGGGGAUUAAACUCCUUAUAAGGACACAAGUGGGCUCGGAAUACUAAAGUUCUGUCUAUUCUAUUUUAUUUAUGUUUUCGAAUAGAGUAACUAACAAAAGAUUCACUAUCUUAUUAAGUUAGUUUAGUUUUUGACGUAGAGUUAGGUCCAAAUUCUUAAUUAUUGGUAUGAGUUUGUCCAUUUUAGCACCAUAAGAGGUGGACAAAAGCUAAUAAAAAAUUUAAGACGAAGGUCCAAAAAAAGACCAAAAUGAAACGCCAUUAAUUAAUAUACUGAAAGUGUGGGUUCAUGUAUUCAUGUUUAUAGUUGUCUAUAUCGGCAUCGCAAAUUUAAAAAAAAUAAUGAAAGAAGACGUAGUGAGGAGAAGAUAUAUUUGGGUUUUCUUCAAAAGAGUGUGUGUUGAAAUAUAUUUGUACUUAAAAGACAUUAAUAAGGGCUAACAUAUGAUACAACUACCAACAAUGUUUUACAAGAGCUUUAGAUAUAUUUAGUGGCUAAAAGAAUGAGUGCCUGAAAACUGAAUGCCUUUCAUAGGAAGCAACAAUCUGAUGAAAUUUGGAGAAAAUGAAAUGAAGGGAAAAAGUCUAGGAUCGGAAUCUCAUCAAGAAAAUGAUGUAAAUUUGAAAGAAAUGAAAUCUAAUGACGUAAAUCAUGCUACCUAGUGACGUUUGCCCAGGUCUUAAAAUUAAUUCUUGUCGAGAAAGCAAGGUCGUGACUCGUGAGUUAAUUGAUUUUCGAUACAAUCAUAUUUGGAUUAUUUUUUGAAAAUCAACGCUGGAGUUAACAAUACUUAUACAUGAUAUGCAGCACAACAUUAGAAAUAAUACAAAUAUUUCUAUUGGUAAGGCUAGUGUUAGACCCCUAACAAAGCUGAUCGGCAAGCGGCACGGCAGUGGCGAGGAUUUUGGCAUGAUGGUCUUGCCAUUGGCCUAUGUGCGGGGGAAAAUCAACAUGCAAGACAAUGCGGGAGUGUUGUCGAUGGCAACAAACUGUUGCUAAGGCAAGUGAGACGGACUACACUUGUAUUAGGGCUAAGGUGUGACGGACUACACCAAAGCAAGAGUGGGCUGCGUACAAGCAAGGCCAAGACCUUGACGGAACUAGGCGGGCUGAAUGGGAGCUUGAUAAGGCUAAACGGGAAAGACCUCGGCGCUAAAGUGAGGCAGCUUAGUGCCAAGGCAUUGGCAUUGGCAAUGUGAUGUUGCCAUGACUUAGGUGAGCGGGCUAGCACCUAAGUUAUUUGUGGGCAAACGACUUGGCAAAGGGAAGGGCAUCAAGGCUUGGUGACUUGAUGCUAAGAUCAGCAUUGACAACGGGCAGACUUGAUCAAGUAGGGGCGACUUGACAAGAACAAUCAACUGUGACAGCAGGCGGCGUGCAACAAACAAGUUCGUGGCGAUGUCAAGGAAAUUUAUAGCACAACGCAGCUGGAUAUAAUGGCGUUGGAGCUUGGCGCAAUGCAGCUGGAUAUAAUGGCAUUGGGCCGGUCCAAGACUAGACACGAAAUUGGGCAGCAGUUGGCCAAGAAAAUGCGCACAUGUGGUGCACAUGAUGCAGUUGGACGGUUACAACUACCCAUGUCCAGGAGUUGCUGAUUAUAUGGCUAAGUCUUUGCAUGUUUUUGGAGCAUGUUCUAUCAUGUUCCACACGUUUUGAUCAUGGGGAUCAUGUCCUAUCAGUUGGGGGAUGUCAACUGAACAUAGGAAACACUUUUGGGCUGACUACACUAUAUAUAUGUGUGUGUUAGCAGCCUUAAAAACGGGCUAAGUACCUAGGGAGGGAAAUGGUCUGAAAGAUAGGCAUAGGGUUGUCUAUUUUAUGGCUUGAGCAUGGCAAAAUAUGUGCUAUUGCCUUGCCAAACGAGUGGCAGCACGAGCGGCCUUAAGCAGGGGCUUUUAUAGGGCAGAUUCGUGCAAGUGUAGGCCAUUUUUGUGAGUUGGUGCCUGCCAAGGGUGGCAGCACCUUGCCUAACUCGAGAUUUUCCUUUGUAAUUGAUUUAUUAUAAAAGAUUGGGAAAGGGUUCCCGUAAAUCUGUGUUGCCUUUGUUUAUUCCUGUUGCCUUAAAUCUAUUCUAAGUGUUGAACCUCGAAAGCGAACGAAAAUUGGGUAAGGCUGAGGUCAAGUGGGGACUUGACUGCCGCACAGCGGGCAGCAUUUUCGGCGGACUGAAAACGCCCCUGUGACAGCUAGUAUGGUUGAAGUAUUGAGCCAGUUAGUGUUAAGUGUUUGUCCUGAUUUUCUUACUACAUUUGGUUUUUCUAUUCCUAGAAGGAAGUGAAACAUAUUUAGCAUAAUUGCUUUUACCUUUUAGGAAAAGGAAAAUAUAAUUCUUUCAUAUUUGGCUAAUUCUUUUUAUCAGAGGAAAAAGUUUUAACUUCUAUGAAUUAAUGAUCUUCCCUUCUCAUUUAACAGCAUCCACAAUGUAGCCAUAAGGGGUUUGAGAGUUUUGUUUAGGGGGGAGGGGGGAGUGUUGGCAUGUCACUUGUGUUUGCCUCUUUGUGAGGUUGUUUUCUCGGUAUUUUGCACUCUCUUUUAUAUAGUGGAUUGUCAUCUCCGCAUUUGGAUGUAGAUCAAUUGAUUGAACCACGUUAAAUGUUUGUGUCUUUUUAAGUAAUUUCAUUUUUGUUGUCUGAUUUGUCGUCGUUCAAUAUUUGUUUUACUAGCUUCCGCAUGACACCUGAUUAUUUUGAUCCUAAUUAGUUGGUCAAGUUGCCAGUAGUCCGACUUGGUUUUUCCUUUUAACAUCUUUAUAAAAUCAUACAGUUUCAAAUUCGUUCAUACAUCAGAUUGCUGGGAGUAAUAAUCAGUAUUUUAAUUUGCGAAUCAAUAUAGCAUAUCUCCUCGAUUUCUUUGAUUAUCUGAAUAAACAGAUUUGUUCAGGGAAUUCCUAACUAGCUAGGACUAGAAACCGAACAAAACGUUGGCCAAGAUUUUGAACAUUUAAUCUUUGCAGUUUCUUUUUACGAAACAAAAACCAUGGUUAAGCGGUAAAAAUAUAUUACAAUAUCAUCUAAUGUAAUAUAUGGGGAUCAGUAUAUAUUUUGAAAGAGGGGAGAGAGAUUCUGCUAACAUGGCGGCAUGAUAAUACACAUUGCAUGUACGUAGAUGAUGAAAUAAUUGAUGAAUUGGAAAAAAAAAUUGAUACAGGAAGUUGAUGGAACGUCAUUUCAGGGUUAGAUGGGGAAACAAGAGGCGAAGCAGCGAGGGCCCUAUCCACAAUUCUAAUGUCGGCUUAUAUAUUUUUUUGAAAUCCAUUCAUGGAGUAUUUAAAGGAAGGGAGGGAGAUAGAACUUGCUUUUACCAAAUCACAAGAGACUGCAAGAAAACAAAAUACUGAAAAAAAAAAUGGGGCAGCAUACGUGCUGCAACCAGCAAAAGGUUAAGAGAGGGCUUUGGUCUCCUGAAGAAGAUGAAAAGCUCAUCACAUACAUUACCACUCAUGGCUAUGGCUGUUGGAGUGAAGUUCCUGACAAAGCUGGUCCUCUCUUCUUAUUACUUCUUAACACUACUUUACUGACAUUUAUGCAAAGAAUAUGUAAUUGUUGAUCUCUUAUUUUUGUACAUGAUAUGAAUUUCCAUGUGUAAAAACCACGUUUGCCGGACUGAAAGCAUUUGGUGUAUUUGAUUUCAGGUCUACAAAGGAGUGGGAAGAGCUGUCGGUUGAGGUGGAUCAACUAUUUGAGGCCUGAUAUAAGAAGGGGAAGAUUUUCCCCCGACGAAGAAAAGUUGAUUAUCAAUCUCCAUGCUGCUGUAGGCAACAGGUAUGAAAACUUGUUUCUUGUUUCUGGAGGCUCUAACAUAGGAACCACCUCGUAAAUCAUCCUAACUGGAACUUGUAUGCAGCACUUAAACGGAGGUUCAUGCAUAAAAGUGUGUGAACUCUUUUUGUCUGAAUCUUAAAGACAGGAUCCCCUAUACCCUAUUCUUGAAUCCCUAGUCGAGCCCUAUCCGAUGUAUAUCCAUUUCCUUAUGUUUUUCAGAGGAAAAGGAUCCUUCUACCUGCCGCCCCCAAGUUAAAAGGUGUACGAAGCAUUCUAAGUUCACAUAGGAUUUUGGGAAGAGUAACAAUCCCAUUGGGCAGCCUAGCUAUCCUAAUGCAAGUAUCAAUGACAGAUUUCAAAAGAGUGUAAGAAUCCAAAAGAGUGUAAAACUCGUAAAUAUUUGUAGGCUAGCUUGGUCAUGUGCUAUGCUAGCUAAUAAUAUCUUCAUCUUCUUCUUUGUUGGACAGCCAAUUGCAUAAUUCUGAUUUUGGUCGGUCACAUUUUGAAAGAAACAUUUGGUAUGCAUAUGCAAAAAAUGAAUUCCGAGUAUAUUCAUUUCGAAGCAACAUGAAGCAAUGCCCUUCAAAGUUUCUGUUUCCCAUUUUUAAUUUUGGUUUCACUUUCUAAGCAAGUCUCAAUAUAUCUAAGAAAUCACGUAACUUAUUAUUGAUAGCGUAUAGCACACACAAAACUCAUCCAGACAAUUUCAUUAUCAAAGUAGUUUCUACAUGAGGCAUUGUUAGCUUACUGAUCUUGAGCAAAUCACACAAGUACAAUGUGAAGCCCUAGAGAGCAGAAUUGAGAGAGAAGAGAAAGAAGAGCUCAACUCUGUAUUUCAGUAGAAAAUAAAAAAUAGAGUCUUACUUACAUUCCCUAACAUAUACACAUAUCCUUCUAACCGCCUAACUAAUACACACGUGUACACUCAUGUGUGCUAAUUAACUAAUUAUACGAAUAAUAAUCUCUCCCUGCAUAUCAACAUUAACAUUAAUAGCCAACUAACCUAUCACUAACGGCUAAGGCUGUUAUGUAGUCCAGGCCCGGGCGUAAAUGGGCUAAACGGGCCGGGCCAAACGGUCAUGGGCUUAACGGUCCUGGAGGGUGGAACCGGCCCACUGUGGGCCUAAGCCCACAUGGGCCAUGGCUAAGUGGGUCGGGCCCACGGGCCUAAGUGUUCCAGGCUAUUUAUUUUUUUGAAAUUUUUUUAUCUAAGGCAAUUUCUUAUAAAUUAUAUUAUAUAAUUGUGACUUAAAUCUUCUAAUUCAAAUUUAAACAUAAAAAAAUUGUAAAGAAAUAUUCAAGGGAAUGCCAUAUAAUUUUUAUUAUUACAACAUUAACAAAAAAUGACAAUAUCUUUCUUAGUCUUCCUCCCCGCAAAAAAUGGCAAUAUCAUUUAGUUGUGAACUAUCACCAAUAUUAUCACCUUGAGAACCUCUGAACCCCGUCCAAGAACUAAGUGAUUUUAUGCCCUCAGUUCUUUUAGAUGAUUGUGAACUAUACGAUGUAGGAGUUGGAACAUUUGGUCUAGCAUGAUCUAAGGCAAGUUGAUAAUCAUUAUAAAUUGUUUGAGCAUUUAUUUUAAUUGAGGCUUUUGCAUCUGCAAGUGUAGCAAAUUUCUCAUCUGAAAGUGAUAAAGCCUUAUAAAUAUUUGUAUACCAAAAGUGAGGACCUCCUAAUUUUAUGGUAGGAUUUAACAUGGCAGCAACACCAUAAAUAUGGGGGAUAGGGAAAAAAUAUUUUUUAAACUUAUCUUUCAUAGAAUCAAUAGCAAGUUGAUAAAUUACCCCACCCUCUGAAAAUUGAGUAAACAAAUUUGCAAGUUCUGCAAUAUAAACUAAACAGUUAAAAAUAGUAGGAUAAUAUUGCCCAGAUAAUUCAUUUGUAGAAAUAUGAAAUUGUUCUAAAAAUCCUACAAGAAUUUUAACAUUAGUCCAAUCCUGAUUUGUAAGGUUCUCAUCAUCAUCAGUACCACCAACACGAGCAUUAAACGUUGUGUUUAUUGGGUUUCUAUAUUCAUAUGCAACAACUAAACUUUCAUACAUGUAAUUCCAUCUAGUCGGACAAGGUUUAGGAACCUUUCUUUCUCUAAGGCCAAAUUCAUCACAUUUUUUAAAAUAUUCUCUAAGUCUACUUCUACGGUUUGAAUAAAAAAGCCAAUUAAGAGCCAUUUUAACCUUUUCAAUUUCAACAUUUAAAAUUUUCAUACCAUCACCGAUGAUUAAAUAGUAAAUAUGACAAAUACAUCUAACAUGGAAAAAAUUACUAAAUGCAGGAUUUAGUGUAGUUGUAAGCAAGCCUAUGACAUUAGUGUUACUAGAAGCAUUAUCCAUUGAAACUGACAUUAUUUUAUCUCUAAUGCAAAAAUAUCUACAAAUAUCUGCAACUGUGUUAGCAAUAAACUUACCUGUGUGACGUGAAUUAAUUAUUCUAUAAGCAAUAAUGCACUUUUGCAUUAUCCAUUCCUUAUCAAUCCAAUGAGUGGUAACAGUAAGAUAAUCACAGUUAUUACCACUUCUACCAAUAUCGGUAGUAAUAGCAACGCGACAAUUUAUAUGAGUAAAUAAAUAGUGCAAAUAUUAUUCAUAUUCAUGUUUAUAUUUAUAAUAUUGCUCUUUAUGGUUGUGUGAGACCAUCCUUUAUAAGUAGGAUUAAAAACUCUUCUAAUAUAAUGCACAAAGUGAGGGUUAGAAAGAAAACUAUAGGGUAAGCAUAUAACAGUAACCAUUUUUGUCAAUUCUUCACGAUCUUUAUUUGGAUCGUAAUAUAAAAUACCACUGGUAACAGUAUUAAUUCCUGGUUGAACUAGAUUUGACCCGGUAUUAGAGUUAACCUGAGUACCUACACUUAUCCCCUCUUGCGCAGCUUUCAUUUGAAGAAAUCUAGCUUUAUCUUUAGGGUGUGUCUUUAUGUGUCUAGUCAAACUACCCGUACCGCUACGGUCUCCAGUAAAUUUAUGAGCCAUCAAAGUCCCACAAGUUUUACACUUAGCCUUAUUUUGAUCUCUUAAUUGAAUAAAAAAAGUACCAAAAAAGAGAUGUUUCGCACCGUCUAGAAGGUUGUCUAUUAAAAGUAGGGGUUACUACAGGAGGGUCAGGCGGGGCAUCAUUUGGAUUAUUAUCAGUUGGGUUAACAACAUGACUAGUAGGUGUAUCGUCUAAAUCCGGUUGGGUUUCACCUAAAUCAUCAUUUUCAUCGAUAGUUGAAUUACCAUAAAGAGCAUUCAUAUAUUCAUCAUUUAAUUGUUGACCUGGUGCAAUAUCAUGGUAAAAUUGACGAUCGGUAAAUUAAAAACAAGGGUUAUCACUAUCAAGAAUAACAGGUGGAGGAGGACGGAUAACAGGACUGGGUUGGGGAGCCGAGGGAGCAGUAGUAGCUUGGUCACUAGAUUCACCAAUUUUAGAUUGUCCCUUACCACCAAAUAUUUUUUUCAAAGAAAAGGCCAUAUUAAUUAUAAUUAUACAAACUAAAACAAACAAAACUAUAAUAUUAAAACUUAAGAGUUGGAACGAGUUUACCGAAUUGACGUACAACUUCUUGAAAAUUGUAUAUCGUUGAAGACUUGUAUACUUUAAUUCACCAACUUCACAUUUUUUCACAAACUGCAAUAAUAAAGUAAGCAAUUAUAGAAGAAAAUUAGAGAGAUAUUGAUCAUUUUGUGAGUAAAAAUAAAAGAAUGAGAGGGUAUUUAUAGUUGAGAAUAGGGAAAAGUGUAAUUAUAAAAAGUUUGGGGUUAAAAUAAAGUUUGGGAGACAAAUGACUAUUUUAAAAAAAAGCCAAAUGGCUAAAUUGGCAGGCUAACGGCUAGUUUUUAAACAUCCAGCCGUUGGCCAAUUUGAAAAAUAGCCAUUGGGCCCAUUAAGCCCGGUUGAACCGGCCCAGACUUGCCAGCCGGUCCAGGGCUAAACGGUCCCGGGCUCGCGGUCUCUCCAUAUUGGACUAGCCCACAGUGGGCUCCUAGGACCGCUUGGGCCCAGACCACAAUACAGCCUUACUAACAGCUCAUAUAAUCCCCAUUUCAUCACUCCCUCUCAAGUUGGUGGGUGCAAAGACAUUGAGAACUCCCAACUUGCCAACUAGAUACUCAUGAUGUGGUCUUCCUAAUCCUUUAGUUAGGAUAUCUGCUAGUUGCUCCUUUGAAGGGAUGUACUGAGUCUUUACUAGUCCUUCUUGUAUCUUCUGUCUAAUAAAGUGAUAAUCGAUCUCUAUAUGCUUUGUUCUUUCGUGAAACACAAGAUUUGCUGCUAUUUGCAUUGCAGCCCUGCUGUCACUAUAUAUGUGUAAUAGAAAUUUCACUUCUGCUCCUAACUCCCUUAGCAAUGUUGUCAACCAUACUACCUCUGAAACUCCACUUGCCAUGCUUCUAUAUUCAGCUUCUGUUGAACUCUUAGAAAUUGUAUUCUGCUUCUUUGAUUUCCACGAGAUUGGAGACUCUCCAAAUUUGACUAGAUAUCCUGACACUAACUUUCUAGUGUUAGGACAUGAGGCCCAGUCAGCAUUACAAAAGACACUGAUCUCACUUGAGUUUUGACUGCUCGACAAGAUUCCUAGACCUAGUUCCAGUUUAAUAUACUUCAUCACUCUUAUAGCUGCAUCCCAAUGAGACCUUUUUGGCUACUACAUGAACUGGCUGAGAGUUUGCACUGAGAAUGCAAUGUCUGUCCUGGACAUGGUUAAGUAUAACAACUUUCCAAUCAGCCUAUGAUAUUGGCUUACAUCCUCCAGCAUUCGGUCCUCGGUUGUCCCCAUAAGUCUGUCUAGUUCUGUAACUGUCAAUUUAACAUUUGUCUCUAAUAGAGUCCAGGCUGGUUUUGCUCCACUCAAUCCCAAGUCUGAUAUUAUCUCCAAUGCAUACUUCCUCUGAUUGAUCAGAAUGCCUUUGGUAGAUCUGCUGAACUCCAUGCCAAGGAAGAACUUUAGGUCACCUAAAUCUUUGAUCUUGAAGGCUUGUUGCAAGAAGAUUUUGGUGGCUUCAAUCAGCUACAAGUUGUUUUCUAUCACUAGCAUAUCAUCAACAUAUGUUAGUAUUAUCACUAUAUAUGUUCCUUUCUUCUUGAUGAAUAAGGAAUGAUCUAGGUUAUUCUGCUUAAAAUCAACCUGUAGCAAUGCCUUUUAAGUUCCACUGUUUGCAUGCUUGUUUCAGACCAUAGAGAGAUUUUACAAGUCUACACACCAAUCCAGACUCCUCCUGACUUAUAAAACCUUGUGGCAGAUUCAUUUACACUUCAUCAUGUAGAUCUCCCUGCAAGAAGGCAUUUUAGACAUCAAGUUGUUGGACUGUCCAAUUAUGCAUGGCUACUAAGGAAAGAGCAGUUCUAACAGUGGUGAUCUUCACUACAGGAGAAAAGGUCUCAUUGUAAUCAAGACCUUCUCUUUGACUUUGUACACCCAUUUACAGCCUAUAGCUGUCUUUCCUUGAGGUAGAUGAACUAGUUCCCAAGUGUUGUUGUCUUGUAGAGCUUGAAUUUCAGUUUUUAUGGCUUCUACCCAUCUAGGGUCCUUAGAAGCUUCCUGAAAAGUUGUAGGCUCAACAAUUGAAGAAAAUACUCCCAGGUAUGCCUGAUAGGAAGAUGAUAGCUUAGUAUAAGUGACAUGAUUGUGUAUGGGAUAUAAGACAGUGUUCCCUGACUUUCUUGUGGUCACAUAAUCUAUCAACCAGACUGGCUCGUUUGACUCCCUUUGUGACCUUCUUAAGGUAUCAUGAUGUGUCUAUCCUCCAUGAUGAUUAUGAAGUGAUGUAGAUGGCGCUUCUGAAAAUAUGCCCACUGAGUCAAUGACUAUAGGUGAAGAACUACCGGUGGUUGUGUGAUGUUGAAUUUCAGAAGGUAUUGUGUUGUGCAGAUAUUGGUUCAAAGUUGUUUGAGGGCUAUGUAAUAUCAUAUGUAGGAUUAUCUUGAACAUGUAGCUGCUCAACAAUUAGAACACCAGGCUCAUCUGCAUCUGUACUUUCAAGACUAAAAACAUCAGUAAUAACAGGCUUGACUUGGUUCUUAAGAUCACCAGUUGUAUCUUGAAAAGGAAAUGUAGAUUCCUUGAACACCACAUCUCUGUUGACAAAGAAUCUAUCCCUAUCCAAGUCAUAUAGGAUAUAUCCUUUAGUAACAUCAGAAUAUCCCAUAAAAACAACUCUAACUGCUCUACUAGCAAACUUAUCAGUUCUAGGUAGCACACUUGCAAAACAAAGACAGCCUAAUAUUUUCAAGUGAGAAACUGAUGGUUUCCUAUUAAAGAACACCUCAUAUGGAGACUUAUGAUGCUGCUAAAAUACAGUGUCCCCAGAAUUUCAUAGGGAUAUGCCCUUGAAAUUUGAAUGCCCUUGCAACUUCAAGCAAAUGUAUAUGUUUUCUCUCUACUAUACCAUUUUGCUAUGGUGAAUAAACACAUAUUUUCUGAUGAACUAUCCCCAUGGAUGUGCAUAACUCCUGCAUAGCUGAAUUUACAAACUCUCCACCAUUGUCAGUUCUAAUUGUUUGCACUUUUCUAUUGAAUUGUGUUUGUAUCAGCUUAAGAAAUGAUUUAAAAACAAUCAUGAUAUCACUUUUGAAUUGCAAGAGAAAAAUCCAAGUCACACGAGAGUAAUCAUCUACAAUUGUGAGAAAGAACCUAUUACCAUCAAAAGUGGACACACUGCAAGGUCCCCACACAUCUAAAUGUAAUAGCUGAAAAACAUUAAUAGUUCUAGGACUACUCAAUGGAAAAUACUGUCUCACAUGCCUAGCCAUUGGACAUACAUCACAGUUAUCUAUUACAGAUUUGCAAUCCUCCAGCUUAUAUCCUAGAAUCUCUUUCAAGGAUCCUCCAGAUGCAUGUCCUAAUCUUUUUUGCCAUAUAGUUAUGUCCUCAUUUGUUGUCUAUAUAUUUAACCCUUUGAUUGUUGGUAUGCUUUUAUUAGUGUUUAAGCAAGCUCUUGGAACUAGUAGGUAGAGCCCAUCCUUCUCUUUACCAAUCCCCCUCACUUUCCCACUUGAGAGGUCAUGGAAUAGCAAAAAUCAGGAUAGAAAGAGACAAAACAAUGUAAGUCCCUUGUUAUUUUUGAUAGAUAAAGAAGAUUAUAUGCAAACUCUGGGACAUACAAUACAUCCUGCAUCUCCCUUGUUUUUGUGAUCUUAUAGUUUCCAACAUGUGACACAAUAGUACGUUCUCCAUUAGGUAAGUGAACUCUCUUGUCU
This 72909-nucleotide long non-coding RNA is filed under the name Nicotiana tabacum (common tobacco). RNAcentral describes it as "long non-coding RNA (NTAB_LNC007084)". Lineage: Eukaryota; Viridiplantae; Streptophyta; Magnoliopsida; Solanales; Solanaceae. The record is from RNAcentral.